This 45045-nucleotide long non-coding RNA is filed under the name Coffea arabica (coffee). RNAcentral's name for it is "long non-coding RNA (CARA_LNC004979)". Lineage: Eukaryota; Viridiplantae; Streptophyta; Magnoliopsida; Gentianales; Rubiaceae. The record is from RNAcentral.
UUUUUUUUUUUUUUUUUUUUUUUUGUAAGUGGGGAAGGGAUGGAUUAUAAUUAGUUCCCAAGGCCAAAUCUAAUUAAUAUAUUUUUACUACUAAGAUUUAAUUUAAAAUUAGGUUGGCCCAUUCAAAGUUAUAGAGUGAUCAAAUUUCUCCACAUUACUAACGAAUUUAUCUAUCUAAAAACAAAGAGCAAACAACGAAGAAAAAUGGAACAAAUCAAAAUAAGGAAAUUCCUAUUUAAUUUUAUUAUUUGUCAUCUUUUGCUUGUUGAAAUUUGUUAUAUUCUCUGUGGCAUUAUUAAACAAUGAAUUGAUAAAAAGUACAAAAAAAUAUCUCUCUUUUAUUAAUUUCCCUUGAAAAUAAUCAAAUUCAUGUUGAAUUAGUUUUAUGUUUCUAUAUGUUGCUUUCGAUUUAUUACAUUUGAAAUCAACUAUUCAUGAUGAUAGUUAUAGUGACAACUAGGGAAAAAAAAAGGCACCAAAAAUUUGCAAAGAUUAGGUAAUACUGAGCUGGUUAUCAAUAAAAGAACAAAUAUGAUUGAGAAAGUUUGACUCGCGUGAGAGACACAAAUAUAAAAGCGCCAAUAACGCUGUCAAUUGAAAAAAAAAAAGUAUAUUCAAUAAUAAUAAAUCGAAAACAUACAAUUUUAGUUGUUUGAGAUCCCUGAAAUUAGAGGUCAUGAAUUCAAAUCCCCUUCUUAAACCCCACCCUUGCCUCGCUAAAAGAAAAGUUUUCUGUAUAUAUAUAUAUAUAUAUAUGUAUGUAUGUAUGUAUGUAUAUAUGUAUGUAUGUAUACACCUUGUACAAUCAUAUAAGUUUUCUUUUAUUAUAGUUUCAUUUAAUAUUUUGCAUCCUAGAACCUAAUAUCUUUGUAUAUCUUGUAUGGUUAUCUAUGACAUCUAGGGACAAAACCAGAUAAUAUACUCUGACGAAGCUAUUUUUAUACACAUGCAAACUUUGCAGUCAAGACAUGAGUUUUUGGAAGUUUUUUUUGGUCUUGAGGGAGGGGGAGUUCAAUUCAUAAAGAACACUGUUGAAAAUUUUCAAAACUUAAAGGGGAAAAACAUAUGAUUGGGAAGGACUUUGGUUUGGUGGGCGGUUUUCAUAGUAGAUGUGCGAUAAUUUGCGUCUUCCAACGUCCAACCUACCUAUUGCACUUUUUCCUUCCACACCUGUCUACUAUUUGGUAACCAAUCCAUUAGGGAAUAGGGAGUCCAUUUCGAAGUUUACUAGGCCAGGAGUUCCCAUUCCCUAGUUUCCCGCUGGAGAAUAAGAUAGAAGUAAAAGAAAAGAGACGGAGUGAUGGACCCUAUAUCCACGCUGCAGCAUCGCUUUGGCGAAACAGCAGCUCAAUAGUCUCCCUUCACACGCAAUACUAUACUGCUAGGACUAAAAUUUUCUCGUUUCUUUCACGUCUAACAACUCUCUUUCCCAAAUCUCCUGUUAUCUUGGAGAGGAAAUGCAAGUGAUACCCAGAUGGAGAAGUAUAUUGAUUUUGAGGAAUUCAGUGAUUCAGUCAACAGCAAUUGCAUCAACAUCAAGAACCCAGCUGGCUGAUUUUCAUUCUACAACAGUUAGCCUUGAGAGAUGGAACAACAAAUGGCCUUCUGCCGGUAAAAAGACCCCUGUGAGUAUAUUUCUUUAGCACCCAGAAUAUAAGAAUCCCAUUUCAUAUAUGAGGAAAGCCCUGUUCGUUUUUCAUGUUCAGAAUCAAAACUUUGCUUCUUGUUAUCUGAUUACUUACUAAUGAUGGUUCUUAGCUUAGGUGGUGAUGUGCUAAGAUAUCUUGGUUGCUUGAAUAUUGGAAUUUUGUUGAAUGUGUGCUGUUGUAUUGUACAUAUGGAAUGACAGUUAUGUUGUGGUGGUAAAUUGUCUUUUUUGGACUAGAACCAUAAAAGGGGAUGAAGGUCUCAAAAUAGAUUUUCAAUUUUACAUGUUAAAGUCUGAAAUCUAGAGGUGCCAACUUGCAUGGUGUAAUGGCCAAUUUUAGGUGACACUGGAUGCUGCUUAGUUGUUUGAAUCAAUUUCAGUGGCCUGAGUAAUGUCCAAUGAGAAUUUCUUUUUGUUAUUUGAGUUGCACUGACAUAAAGAUUUGAACUUGUUCACAUUUUUCGUAUUUCUUUCAUCUUCCUUGAUUUCCAGGCGUGUAUCAGAAAAUGAAAUGAAUCUUGGUGUUUAAAAAUGUUUCAGGGGAAUAGUUAGCCUAUUAGUAUUCUUUUCAAUUUUCUAGUCCAUUGUGCAUAGGUAGAUGAAUAAAAAAAUCUCCAAUUUUUUCUUUCUUAUCAUCAUCUUGCAAAUUUGAUAAUCAGUGAUUAGGAUGGUGGCAGAUUGUUAUCCUGGCUCUUCUUUUUGUUUCCACAGAUGAAACUACCUUACCCAUAAUCACUUGUUUCAUGAACUAAUUUCUACAAAGCCUUUGAUACUUUUUGAAACGCUUUUCAGAAGAUGCCCUAGAUUCUGUUUACAAUGAUCAGGAUUGCAGCAAUUAUUCAUAAUUAUUGGACCAAGAUUAAUGGAUUUAUCUUUAGGAUGUCUAAUUUCAUAUGUGUUUGUUGGGGGGGGGGGGGGGGAGGAUACUUCAUUACGUUAAGAAAUGGCAGAGAAAUGCGGUUGUACUUAGUAAGACAAGGCAAAAGACAAUUAAACUUUUUGGGUGCGAAGCCGUUAAUACUAAUGAUCAUUUAUUUGUCAUGUAUGAGCUAAGUCCAUUUAUCUGUUGUAUGUGCUUGUGCCCCUUGGUUGAUUUUAGUUGCCUUGUUUUGAUGUCUAUCAAGCAUUCUCCACUUACCUGUUAUAGGUUAGUCCUUUUUAUUUGGUUAGUUUAUUACUAAUUUAGAAGUUUGACAUAUAAUGUCUGCAGGAUGUGAGAAGUGGCCAGAAACCAUCUAAGGUAAACUCCUAAAUAUAACGUUUUAAAAUUUCUAGCUGCUUCUCUGAACAUUCAAACUGAUUGUCAAGUUACCUGUUCCACCCCCUCAAAAGAAGUCUAUAUUUAUUGGAAAAUCUAAAAUUUGGAAUGACCGCUUUGAUGGUGGGUAAUUUUAGCGGGGUGUCCAACUUGUUUGUUAAUACCAUGUCAAAGUCAAAAGGAACACCUCAAACUUUAGUUCUGUUGUUGAUAAGGAAAUCUUUGAUCCAUUCUUUUCAUGUGCAAAAUGUUGUAUGAUGUCCUUUGACUUACCUGAAAUUCCAAAAGGUGAUAAAUUCGAUCUAAUAAAUUAAAAUAUAAAGAUCCGUAUUCUUUUCCUUUCAAGUUUUCUACCUAGGGAUUAGGUAUACAGCAAACUCAAAAGGGGGAGAAUUCGCUUCUUGUUUAGGGUAAGUUACAUUGAAAGUGGUGAGUCUUAACUAAACUAGUUGUACAGCUGCUGAAAUUUGGUUGUAAGAGAAUGUGCAAAAAGACAGUCAAUGAAAGAAAAACAAGGGUGUACAAGUGUAUAUCUGCUUAAGCAACACUCUUUCUCCUCCCCUCUUGCAUUUCCUGUUAAUAGCCGUUCUCCAUUUUCCUGGAAAUUGAUUCUAGUCCUUCACUGUUCUAACUUCAUUCAUCAGUUUUUUCAGUUGUGGCGAGAAGCCGUUUCUAGUUCUCUACUGUUCUUCCUUUUCUUUGACUUUGUAAAUUUCAACAGGAUUAUAUAAAAUACAAAAUUCGUCAGAAGCGUGCUGAUACCAAGAAAGCACUGAAAAAUCUACUCUUCAAUAGUGGAGCCUCCAGUUCUGUAUUUGAGGUAGAUCCUUGGACACAUGAAUGAGAUUUCUAACUUUUCUGGUAACUAGAAAUCCCUCUCCAUUGACUUGUUCUGUUUUUAUGCAUGUGAAUCCACACUGACUUUUGUGUCAGUUUUUCAUGAACACCGUGCUUGAUGAAUCUUAUUGUUGUAUGUUUACUUCCAUUCAAAUCAUUAAUGUUUCCCCUUUCUCUGUGCUACAUUUGUGACUGCCUUAAGGUGGAGGAUACACAUUUUUUAGGUCUAAAAUCCAUUUUUCUUGUAGCAUACACUGAAAUGUUGAGUUGUAAAAUUAUCAGGGAGUUAUACAUAUCUUUCAGUGUUGGCUUAUCCUAUACUUGUCGAAUAGACUAAAAUGCAAGUUGUUUUUUUCAUUCACUUUUAAAAGUAGACAUGUAUUUGGUGCUGAGAUUGCAAGGAAUUAUUUACAUACUAGGGAGUAAUUUAGUUACUUCUUAGCUCUUGGCUAAUCAGACUGUUUUUGGGGAUUCAUCUUUUUCUUUUCAUAUCAGACUAGCAUAGUGGUAAUCUGGUUUAAAUCUAAGAGCUGAAGGGUUCAGGUCAUUCUGGGUUCCUGAAAGAGUUGCCGGAUUGCUCUGUGAACUGACCCCAGAGUAAGGUAUCGUGGAUGCCAGCAACUUUCAGAUGUUAAGAGUAGCGUCUGCUCGGUGCCUUGUGUAGGAUAGAUUGGUUUUUGUUUGUGGUAAAGAGCCUUGCUUUUUCUGGACACUCUUGAAAGAAGGUUAUGCCAACGAUCUGGUAACCCAUGUAAACAAUCUAUUUAGAUUUUAUUUUCAUUUUUUACAAGGAAUAGCUUUAAGAUAAUCUUAGAACUCUCAUCCACAUUAGAAGCAUUUGAGGAUUUAGCUUUUUCCUAUACGACACACAAGAUGUAUUCUGAGCAUAUAAUCUGAUGAUAGUUCUGGUGAGAAGAUCCGUGUCCUUUCCUGCUCUUGUGUCCAUGCUUCACUUUUGUUAUGGAUCAUCCUUCCACGUACUUCAACAUUGACUGCAUGGAGCAGGUUUUUAGAUUUUGCACCAAACAUACUCAGAAUUAUGGGUCAGCCAAUUAAAUGAGAGUAGAAGAUAUAUAUAAUCAUAUUCUUGCUUCCUUCUGCACUUAGAUUAUAACUCUUUCCAAUCAAAUCCUAUAUCAUAUGACACCAGGAUGAAACCAAAUGUCGUCUUCUUCAAUGCACAAGAAGGAAGAUGGGGAAAUUUACAUUCAUCUUUCCCUUCUUUACAUCAUUGCUGAAGAGAGCUAUAAAUAUUUUAAUACUGGUUAACUAUGAAGACCAUCUCUUGUACUUCAAAAGCUGGUGAAACUGAUUCAUUCCUCAUCAUAGAUUGCAGACUGAAGAAGUUUCUGCGAAGAACAUGUGGGGUACUAUUAGAAUUACAAGAGGGGGUUAGCUUCAGGUUAACUUUGACAUUUGCCCGACUGCAUCAGUGUUUGCUAAAGGUGAUAUAUCAUCGCCAAUUGAUAAAGAGAGGGGGUUAUCUUCCUUGUCUUUUUUCAUCUAGAUGGCAUAGUAGGAACCAACAUGAAACAAAGAAACUAGAAUUUGCAAAAGCACAAAAAAUUCCUUGUGUAGAACCCAUUUUUAAGUUCAUUAGACUCCGUUACUAGCUUCAAAAGGGGCUAAUUAUACCACCACCAAUUUUGAAUCUACACAUUUUAUCACCGAAUUUUAAUUUUACUAUGGCUGCUGGAAAAGGUCGUACAGCUUAUAUUUCAACUCAUCUGCCUUGGAAAGUGGGGUUGUUUAUCCAAAUAUUGAUAUUUUUAUUGGAAAUUAUUGAAAUAUUGUUGGUUUUAUUGAUCUUUAUAAAAUCUCUUAGAAAUCAAUUUCCUAGCAAUUGACUUCUUCUUUCCCUAUGACAUUUGUUCUUUUUCAGCAAAUCUUCCUCUUCUCAAUUUCGAGGAAAUUGACUUCAAAGUUCAUUCCUAGAAGUUGUUUUUCCUAUCUUGUGAGAAUACCAAUUUAAACCAGCUAUAUUUGUUUAAUUUACGUAAAGAAAAAAUAGCAUGAUCGAGGUAAAUGAACCUUGGAUAUGUAUUUAAAUAUUUAUAUAUGGUCUCAAUAGUGCAACUUUUGGUAAAGUUACUUUUUAUUUUUAUUGCCUAGCCAAAAACCUUAUAGCAGACAUGAAAAUAUUGCAUGACCAUGAAAUCUGGAUUUCCUUUCAAACAAAAAAAUAUCUUGGGUGUAUUAUGCGUACAUGGCACAACAGAGAUGUUUAAGGCCAGAUUGCUUGCUUAGAGAAUUUACAAAGUUGCUAAAAUGAGUUCUCUUGUUCACCUCUUACUUCAGGAAUGGAUAUCUGUCACAUUAUUGAUGUUCUGAAUUAUCCUCUUCACUUGUCUCUGUUCUCUUCUUUCUUUUCAUAGUAGUACUCAAACUUGUCAAUUUUCCCUCUUUGUAAAGCCCAAAAGCUAUCUUUUUGCUAACCUUUACAGUAUUGUUUUUCAUUUUAAUGUGUUAGUUUUUACACUAGUGAUUAUAGAUACUCAUUACCAAUGGUCAAUUGCUUCUAUGAUUUUCUCUUAACAACCCAGGAGACAUUUGCCGAAACAGAUACAACAUGGGAUGUGGAUGAGGAAGAACCUUUGGACAAGAAUGACCAAUCUAAGUCUUCUCAUGCUGCACGUCGUGCUGCUAGAGCUCAUCAUAGGAGAAUGAAGCGUGAGUUUCUAUUUUAUGGCCUACUUUUUGAUGCCAUGCGGGGCAUUUGGUCUUAAUAGAGUCCUCUAUCUCUCUUUCAUUGUGUUGCUCUGUAGCAUACAUACAUCAUAGACAUCUUAUUAGGUUGCUCUGGAGCAUACAUACAUCAUAGACAUCUUAUUAGAUGUGAUGAAAAAGAGCUGUUGUUUGUACAAAAACAUGCUCUGUAUUAUCAACGAGUUUCACUUUGGACACAUUUUCCCCAUCUUGAGCGACUCUUUGUUUUCCUUGCAUUUGUAUUUUGUUUAGUUCUUCUUUUUUAGGAAGGGCGUUGCUUACAGGAAGCGUAUUGACAUUCCGACAAACUAACAACGUGCUGCUGUAUAAGUAAUUUUAUAAUAUUGUAAACACGAAACCAGCAGACUAGUAUUUUAUUGCUUGUUUAUCACAAUGGGUUUAAGGUGAUUGUCCUAAUGAAAGCAUGAUAGACCAUGAUAUUUACAGAAAAAUUUCGUAGUAUCUAUUCAUUCCUUUCUUGUUUAAAAUGAAGACCAAGCCCUUUCCAUUUUCUCAUGCUUAACAAUUUUCCUGCAUCUUCAGGUAAGUUAAGAAGAGAGAGAAAGCAUGAAGAUGUUGAUGAUCCAGAAAAUAUUUUCCAGGCAUCUUUUGGGAAAAGGUGGUGUAGUUGGUCUUAUUGGAGAGAGCCCUCUUAUCAGAGUUUGGCAACUGGAUUUGACUUUAGAGAACAUUCCAACUGGAGUUCUAGAAGACCCAGAGAAUCAGAUAUUGAAAGUGAGGCAGAGUCUGAUACUGAGCCUUGCAUUGACAGCACAAAUUCUGAUAGAAAAGUUCUUGGUUUGCCCCUGAAAGGUCCUCUGCAGAUUCAGGAUGUUAAGAAUGCGUGAGUUCUUCAAGAGAGAAGUACUCUAUGUUCAGUAUAAUUUACGAUUAGUAUACAUGUAUGUACAACUUGUUAAAUUGUUGAAAAUUUUCUUGAUGUAGUUUUCGCUUGUCAGCUCUCAAAUGGCAUCCCGAUAAGCAUCAAGGCCCUUCACAGGUAAGUUUAUUUCUUGUCUAUUGAUUGUCUAUUAUCACCCGAAAUAUGCACAUGCAUUACUUGUGUUUAUCGUGAAAGAAACAUGUCAUACUUGUGUGACAGAUUUAGCAUUGCUGUAAAUCAGAAACUGGAACAAAUUCAAUACAAUACAAAUUGGAAGAAGGUUGAGAUAGUCCCCUUUAGGUUUUUAGAAAGGGAGGGCCAGAGAGUGGGAGGAAAGAGGAAGCAAUAAAGGAUAAUUGGGCUGCGAGAAUCUAAGCUAAUGCUAAGAAGAGGAAAUUGUACAUUUACCUUGGGCUAUAUAUUUCUCAAGUUACUGCUAUGAGUAAUGAAACUCUGUUCAAUCAUUUUAGAUUGUUGUUGGUUUUGUCAUUUUUGAGUAUUAUUUCUUCUGUGGUUGUUAAUCUGGAAGAGAAGUUCCUUUAAGCCCUUCUUUACCCUUGUUGUGUGCAAUAUGGGCUCCCUGCAACAUGAUUAUCUACUCUGUUGCAGGUAGCAGCGGAAGAGAAGUUUAAACAGUGUGUAGACGCAUACAAGUCAUUGUGCAGCUCACUCUCAACAGCUUGAGCUUCAAAAUUUUCAGUCCAUUUUCCUCUCAAUUAUUGGGGAUGAUAGGUGGAAGAGACAGGUGGGUUCUUCCUUGUGUUUAGUUCUGACUGCCCUUUAAAGAAAGCCAAUUAAAUAUAGAAAAUAGGCAAUUAGUAUUUUAGUUCACCCACGAUACAAAGCUUCAUUGCUAGCAUUGUAACUUUUGUUUCUCACUAGAGUAAUAAAGAUGGUUGGCCAUUUUUGUGUCAACAAUAUUGUUAGGUGGAGUAAAGGUUGUAUCAUUAAUCUUUUGCUAGAAACCAACCAAAAGUCAAUUGGGAUCAAUCCACAAAAUAUAAAGUGCUUUUCUUCUCUUCUCUCUAAAGCAACUGGCAACUAAUUCAUGGUUGGAUAAGAUAUUGAGGGCUCUUGAUGGAGAAAAAUGACAUAUUGGUUAUGUUUUACAUUGACAAGUUCAUAUGAAUAACUCCCAAAGUAAAUGGUACAGAUUGCCUGAUUAGGUCUUAAACUCUUGAGGGAAUGAGAAAAUGUGGGUAUAAAAUGGACUGGUGAAGCAAAUGUACAGCUCAAGAUGUGUAAUAUCAGCAUGGGAGAAUGUUUUGCUUCUUCAGUCCAAAAUAUUCAGUGUGACAGCAGCUUGAAAGAGUGUCUACACAUUCUGUCCAAGUUCAACUUUAUUGGUUCAGAACAUGAAUAUGUUGCUUUCUUAAUGUUUAUCAUUAAUUACAACAGCAUACAUUAUACCUUUCCUCAGCUAUUGAAGCCUUUGGGCAUCAUGUUCCUCUGUUGAGGUGUUGCAACUUUAUGCAGCUGCAUUAUAUACCCAAUAUAUAAGCUGCAAUAGGCAGUGAAAUAUGUACAACAUAUGAAUAAAGUUUUAGAGCUGAGACAUAUUCAACUCUUAUGGGAUGCAAGUAUCUGUUGUAAAACCUCAAAACUGAAUCUCUACUUGGUAAUCUUAUUCCACAUGUCCUGGCACCUUUGGUAUUUGGUUAAAAAAAAAAAAAAAACUUUCAGCAGAUGACAGAAAUGCUAAUCCAUAUUUGAUCUUAGCAGAAGUCAGAAAUUUGUCUACGCUGCUCAGCAAUUUACUGUCAACUCAUAGAAGAUGACAGGAUGUUGUAUAUAUUGAAGUAAGUUUGAACUUGCCAAAAAGAAAUAAAAGGGAUGCUUGUAUCAAGAAAAUCUAAGAUGGGCAUUGAUACUUGGUAGCGGGAAAACAUGUGUAAUUAAUAUCAUAUUUACAUGAGAAAAUGGCCAUUUAAAAAUGCAUCUCAUAUUUACAUUGAAAAAGUUUCAUUUUGUCGUCAACCUUUUUAUUUUAACUGUGCCAAUGACAUUAUUGAUGUUAAUAUCAUACAUGUUUCUUGAAGUUUUGGUAUUGAGACUUCGCUAUCCAAACCUGAACAUUUCCAUCUGACUCGAAACAUUUUUUAUGUUGCCAUUCAAAAUUUAACACCAAAACCACAAAAUUUUUUUUUGAUAUAUAUAUAUAUAUAAGUAAAAGUUUGGAUGAAUUCGACUUAGGUGUCAAACAUAUAUCCGAAAGCACAUGUCACUUAUGGGGGGAUUUUAUAUAGAUCAUCAAUUAACAUAGUUUUCAUAUUGGUAGCGAAAUUCUCGAACACCACUCCCACCGUUUUUUAAGAAAUAAGAAAAUAAUCCGUCCUUGCUAAAUUGAACAAACUUGUGUUCGCAGUGCAAAAGUAACAAGGUCUGGUUUAAACUUGCACCUUUGGUUCAUUUAUGCUGCACCCAGACAUCAAUGAGCCUUUACAGACGAAUGGCCCAUCAAACCAAACCCCAUUUUUCAGUAAUUUCUCCUUCUACCCCACCAAAAAAAGUUUUUUCUUUUUCCAAGUAAUCAUUUUUAGCACAGAUGAUAUGAACAAAAAUUUUCGCAGCACUAAGCAAUAUAAAUGUGUAUUUAUAAAACAAAACAUUUCCACAGAAUCAGCCAAAGGAGGAAAAAAAAAAAGUAAUAACCAAAAUCCUAAAACAGAUAAAUAAUAAUGAUAAUAAUAAUAAUAAUAGAGGAAAGUUAAUUUUAGGCUCUACUGAAGCUAGAAGCAAAGAAGAACAACAGAGGAAGACACCACAAACCCAUAAAUCAAGAUCAAGAACCCAAAAUGCAGAGCCCAGUUUCUCUUAAACUUGCCAAAAUAACUCUCCGGUGGUUCUUGAUAAGGCACUUCCAAUUCAUCUCCAUACUCAUCAAUUACCCCACCACCACCUCCGCCGCCGGCGCAGCUGCUGAUUUUCAUCCUGAGCUGCCUGAGCCUGUCAGUAGCCAAGCCAAGAGUCAGCUUGUGACACCUCCUCUGAUACUUGAACCCAUUGAUGCACCUAAGAGUCUGAGCCACGGAAACAUAAAAGAUCAGAUGAGCUAAAGAAAGCAAUCCAAUGGGUACCCAACAAUGCCGGCAUUGGAGCCUUGGGGACUGGGAUUGAGCUAGGAAGACAAGACCCAAGAAAAGGAAGAAAAUUUGGAAUAGUUUCCAAAGCUCCUUUUUCUGGACGUCUACUGCUCUUUUCUUCUCGAGGGUCUUCUCGAAAUGGAGUUGGAUUAUGGUGUUUAGUGCUUGCAGGGCUGCUUCUUUUGGGAUGAGAUUGUGGUGGUGUGCGGCAGCUGUGGGGUCGUAUUCCGCCAUUGCUGGUGGAGCUGAGUGGUAGUAAAUUGGUUGUUUGCGGGAAGGGACGGCUGGGAGAUUUGUGGGCUGUGGCCAGUGGGGCUGUUUUGGGGUACGAACCAACUUGGCUGGAAUAUCAAAGGAUGCCAUGCUACGUGCAAAUAUAUUAUGUUAUUGUUUAUCAUUAUUAUUAUUUGGAAAAACCUCCCACAUACUAUUACUCCAAUUGCAGUUUACACCCUUAAAGAUUUUUGUAGGAACAUUUAUAUUGAUUCACAUCUUUUUCUAUGAAUUAAAUUAGCAAUUGACUUGAAGCGUGUGAGGUGCAAAUUCAAUCUCUGAAAAACAAUUUGAGCAUAAUGUGCCUCGUUUUUAACGACCCUCUGUUUUCUUUUUCAACAAAAUAAGUUACCAGUGCAUUUUUCGUGUUUUCUUUAACGAAAUAAGCUAUUCAUAUCUUCCUUCCACACAGACAUAAAAUUUACGACUAAAUCUCACAAAUGUUUAGAAAAAGGAAAGGCAAAACAAUAAAAAUAAAAAUAAAAACCAAAUAUAAAAAUCCGCUAACCUCUCUCUUUUUCCAAUUUACUUUCUUAUUUGGACAACAACAAUACAACCGACAAACUCUAUUAGUACACAUAUAGAAUCAUCCUUUCUUAUUCGUGUUUGGUUGAGGCCUUUUUGCAGAAAAAUUAGUAGGCACACAAUUAAGGAAUAGUUUUGAUGUCCUAAACAAAUUAUACCUUGCCCAUUUUUAGUCAAAAAAUUCAGAGGAAUAUUAAUUACAAAAUCAUAGGAAAAUGACUACAAUGCAAAAUAAACAACUUCAAGAAAACUAAGAAGAACAAGUGGUAAAACAUCCAUAAAUUGUUCUUAGAUUCUCAAAACUACAUAUUGGAAGAAUAAACAAUAUUAAAAGACAACCUCCAAGGCAAUAGUGGUGUCCCUCUUCUCCUACCAAAUCCUCUUCCACUCUUUCUAUUUUGGUUUUCUUCCAUUUCUUUUCUUUUUUUAUGGGAUUUUUUUUGAGGUUUUUUUUUUUGUCAUGAAGAGAGAUAGUUUGAUGAUUUAGCGUAAGUUAGUUAUUUCCUUGAUUCAUGAUGGAUGGUGGUCACGUUUGUGGAGGAAGGAGAUGGCUAGAGGCUUGAAUUAAGGUGAUGAAAAUGAUGAGAAUAGUGUUGUAAUACGUCAUUGGAGCAGUUUUUGAUUGUUUAUGAGAAGAAAGAAGAAUGAUCAAAUGAUGCAUUUUAACUAGCCAUUCAACCAAUAACAUGGAGGCCACACACCGGUAUUUUCAUCAACAAAAUGCACGGUCAAAUUAACACAUUAUUACCAUUAUUUUUUAAACUGAGUUGAGGGUGUAAACUGUAAAGUGCAUAUAAAAUCUUUGAAGGGAUAAUCUGUAACUUUGGUAACAGUCUGUGGAGUUCUUUUGCAAUUAACUCCUGUACAUUUUUUCCAUAGACUCCUGUACAUUGAGUUAUAAAUUUUUGAAAAAUGUAUUGUAUUGAUUUUUUCAACGGUAGGGAAAGGAAUGUGGGCCAUAAUGCAUUGAGAGUGGGUGUCAGUGUCAGGCGAAAGAACAGUACUGAAACGCAGAUCAAACCAAAUGCGGAGAGGAGACCAAAAAAAAAAAAAACAGAGAAUGGUGCUGGGUGCAGUCAAAGAAACCUGCAUGAAUUUCAAAAAUUUCUUUAUCGUUUUCUUCUUCUUUUGAGACCAGUCCAACGAGUCAAGUUCUUAUGGUUAUAGGCUAUAGGGACAAGAGACAUGUGAUAAUCAUUUAUCCGCUUGUUGAACGGGUGCUCGUAGCUACUCGUUAAAAUAUGUAUUUCGGAUGAUAUAUUUUUCAAACUAUAUUAUUAAUUAAAAAUUAAUAAGUAUACGUAAGGAUAGAUAAAAUUUAAUAAGAAAAGUAUAUAAAUAUAAAAGAGAAUAAUAAUUAUUAGUACGUGUAUAAAGAGUACUCCUUAGAAAAAUUCAAUUGUUCUUACCUACUUGGAGAAGUGGAGAGUAUCAGGAUAGAAAUGAAAUAGUGAAAUUUAAACUGCCAAUUUAGGAUGAGAAAAUUGAAUACAAGCCUGAACAGUUGUCAGUAAUAACCGCUCGAAAUAAUGUAAUAUUUUUUGGACAAAGUAUAAUUCUCCGUGAAUUAUUUAUAAAAGUUAACAACAGAGAUAUAAUUAUUACAUAUAAGAUCCACAUGAAUAGUAAAUAGAAUAUCCAUAUGAACAGUAAUAGAAUAUCAAACAUCUAUUAUAUAUAAUAGAUAGAUAAAAUUUUUUUAUAAAAUUACAAAAUAUACAAAAAAAAAAUAUUACACUAUUCAAGUCCUUCCCCGCCUAUGAGAAAAUCAGUUGGAUUCUUGAUUAUGCAAGUCAUAGUUGUCAUUACUUUUGGCACGUUUUCACAGUUGCAUUAUUGUUUGUACACUUUCAUCAUUGCAAAGUCCAUUGGAAGUAUAUUCGCAUUUACAACGAAUUUUGACUAUUUGUGCCGCAGCCCAUAUCCGUUGGCUUUUUCUAAUGUUCAAAUUUUGAGUAAGGAGAAGAUAUUAAGGUACAUGUCAUGCAUUAUAUAACAAAUUAUACUUGAUAUGGAAGAUAUUCUUAGAGUUUCAAUAUUGUGAUUAAGUUUAUCAUUUUUUAGAUUUGUUGUUUCAAAUCUAUGUAUGUACGUUAAGUUGAUUUUAAAAUAUAUGUUUCAAUAUAUUGUUUGAUGUACUUACUGUCAUGAGUGCAGAUAUUGGAAUGAAAUCAUCCUUUUUAUCUAAAAAAAAAAAAAAAUUAUGCAAACAGUUCGUUUAACUAAUUAGUCAUGUUAUUAAUUAAAUCUAAUCCUUUUUCAACGAAAAAAGGUGAUGUUUAUUAAAAUUUGACAUGAUAACUAGCAUCCAAUUUUACUUUGGAUGCAAAAUUAAUAUGAGGUUUCUUGGCCCCUUGAAAUGAUGAACCGGAAGUGAAAAAGGAUUCUUUCCUAAGUGACCCGAAAAAAGUUUUUUUUUUUUUGGUGAUCUGAUUUUGAAAAGCAGUGAAAGUGUAAAAAAUGUUCAUCAUUGCUUGGCCGAACCUCCAACUUUGCCGAGGCAGGGUUAUAGGAAUCCUAUCGUUAUAGGAGUCCCCUCCUUCUCCCCUAGAUUAGAUUAGAUUAGGUUAUAUAAAUCCUAUCGUUGCGAUAAAAAAAAAAAAGUAAACAACGGGUGAAACUCGGGCCGUUAUAUCCGGCUUCGGAGUGAACUCUAUUGCUUAAGCCUUAAAGUAUCUACUGGAUCCAUUCAAAUCCGGGUCACAUUAUUGCAUUCUCAAACUGGCAAACUUUUUUUUUGGGGUAAGUAAGAAUUUAUUAGCAACUAAGAACCAAAAUAACAUACAAAAUACGUUUCAAAUCAAUAACUCUUACUUACACAACUUAUAUAUGAUGCUGAUGCUAAUUCCACAACGGUCUGAGAUACUUUGUGUACUGAAUGCAAAUGGAGUAGCAGCAACUAACACUAAAAUUUCAACUUGAAUAAAUGUUCGUUGGUAACAACCCAAAAACCUUUGUAAUCAUCUAUUAGUAUCUGUCUUCUUGACUUUUUUGAAAGAGGACAAUCUGCAUUUGACUGCCUCAAGGAUCUCUUCUUGAAUAACUUUUUGUAUCCCUGCAUUCAUUUUCGAAUUGCCUUGCAUUCCUUUCUUUCCAAAUGCAAUAAACAACAGCUACUAACAAAACUCUGCCUUGGGUUUUAGCAAGAGAUUUGCCUUUUAAGUUAAUUCCAAUCCAGUCAAUCAAUUUGCUCCAAUUGGUCUGAGGCCAUUGGACAGCACAUUUGGAUUUGAAAAAACUCCAAAUACUAUUAGUCACAGAGCAAUCAAAAGACAAAUGACUUGGUUUUUGAGGACGACCAUCCCAGCUCGGCUAUACCGAGUUCAAUCCUUUAUUAUUUGAGACGGGUCGCCACCAGUUUUGGUCACCCCGGCUAGAUAUCACGUGCGGGUAACCGAGGUAACUCCCACACCCACUGGUACCUCGAAUUGGUGCUGUGCUUGACACGACAUCCGAGGUCUUAUCUAAGAACCUAACAUUUGCAUGACGGACAAGACAUUUGACGAGACUUGUCUACAGCUCCGUCCUGUCAAAUCGGACUGGACACGCUCAGUCCCUGCCAGGUCUUAGGGAGUUGGAGCCCAUUAUUCCUUCCUCCAACUUGUCCCCUAUAAAUACCACUCUCCCUCAUUCAGAAAAGGAAGGAGGAGAAAGAUAGUAAGAACUCUAUUAUUUUCAUUUCCAUUACUCAUUUACCGGUAAACUAACUUAAUCAUUGGAGUUAUUCCGGGGAAAAAAACCCCGUUUAGUGUGUGUAUCAGGAAGAGUACAUCACCAAGUCCCUUCGUUCAGGAAGAGGACGUAUUAGGUCAGCUCGACUUGACCGUCCAAAAAUCACCUCUUCAGUUUUCAAUGUGAAGUCUACAGAACGUGCAACUCACAUUGGAGACAAUUCCCCAACUAAUUAGUCUAUCUUGAGUUGAGAAUCUUUGCUGGAUAAUCAACCAUAGUAUGAAUGCAUAUCUUGGUAUGGUAUUUGCCCACACAACCUUUGCCCAAGAAGAAGAAGGCCGUCUAAUUCUCAAUGUUUCCCAAGUUUGCUGGAUAGAAAACUCAGACUUGCCCCACAAACUCUUAUCUUUCCUGACGAGGUUUAGCUUCAGACUAGGUGGAAUAGAGGAAAUUACCUCAUGACAUAGCCAAUAAUGCCUACCAUGGCAAUUCAGCCAUCUCCAAUGUUCCCCGAAAAUAAUAUCACUGACCAUGAAUACAUCACUUUUAGAUAGAUUUCUUACCCAAACUUGAUAGCUGAAUGAAUGCAUCACUCUUAGACAUACAUAUUGAACCUCCGGGAAGCCAAUUAUCAUACCAUAGUGAUGUAUCUCUACUAUCUCCAAUCACAUGAAAAAAGUGAUUUGUCACUCUAUCUCUCAGUUUUAAUAAUUUCCUCCAUAUCCAAGAACAAUCAUAGGAUAUUUUUAUGGUCCAAAUACUCCUACCUUUCAAGAGAUAAGAAAAAACCCAAGUUAUCCAAAAAGACGAAUUGUCUCACUUCAAGAUCUCCACAGCAAUUUGCAAAUAGCUGCAGGAUUCCAUUCUUCAAUUCUCUUCACCCCAGCAAUUUGCAAAUAGCUGCAGGAUUCCAUUCUUCAAUUCUCUUCAACCCCAGGUUGCCUUCUUUUUUUGGGAUGCAAAUAUCCUCUAAAGCUACCUUAGCACCAGAAUGCUUAAGAUCCUUGCCCUUCCAAGGGAAAGAUCUCAACACACUCUCCACUUGUUUAAUGAUUUUUUUUUGGCAGGACAAAAGGACUUGAUCAAUAAACUUGCAUGAAAAACAGAACAGAAUUGAUAAGCUGGACUCUACCUGACCAAUAUACUUUUAAGUAUCGUGUUUGAGCAAAGAAUAUAAUUGACAUUCAUUGGUUUCUAAGGCUUUUUGCAGUAUUUUUAUAUUCAAAUCCUGAUCGAAUUCGAAGAGAAAAGUCUUGAUUUGACUCAUUUGCUAUAUCGAAUAAGUAGAUCCAGGUCCAAUCCGGGUAAUCAGAAUUGAGGGAACGCCAUGAAAGUCCAUCCACUUAGAUAUUAUACUUUUAGCUUUUGACUUACUUUCUUUUGUGUCCCAGCAACAAAAUUAAAAUGCCUAUUUUUUUUUUUAAAAUAAAGUUACGACUAACUCAAUGCUGACCGUUUAAGCUGGUUUAAUUUGAUGUUUUAAGGGAGUAAAACUGACCAACCUCAUAAGCUUGUUUUCAGUUGUUUUCGAUUCUUAAUAGCAGAGUCAAAAUUCGAAAGUAACUAUUUGGUACUUAUGAUUUUCAAUUUUUUGGAUUAAAAAGAAAAACUAAAAUCGAGUUUUGGGAAACAAUUGAGAGUAGAAAUUAGUUGACAUUUUUGGAAUAAAAAAAAACUAAAAUCAAGUGUGCAAAAUGAUUGGAGAACAGUGUAGCUAUAUUUAUGUGCACUUCUUUAGCUGGCUCCACACCUUGGAAGUCACCCUACUCACAACAUAUUAAGGGCAAAACUUUGAGAAAAGAAAUGCAUUCGUUUACGAUUGCGUACGAGUUGAAUGAAGUCAAGUUUUGAUUAAGCGAGCCGAAAUGAACCCAUUUUACUAUGUUCAACAUGGAAAUUAAAUACUAUCAUCAAUAAGCACCUUGUAGAACUUCGAAGAAAUCAAGAGUAAUACUGAUCAAGAAAGUUUCGACUUACUUCACUGCUAUUGAAACAGAAAUCAAUUACUAAAUCCAAAAGACAAAAAUUGAAAUAUACCAUUCUACUACCAAAGCUUAUAUAUAUGUGUGUGUGUAGCCUUAUUCUGCAGAUCUAUUGGUGUUCGGUAGAAAUUGCCUCGAGAGUUUGAGCUCUCAACUACCAUUUUCAGCAAACUCAAGAAACCUCUUCCUAUGUUCAAGUGUUAAUAAACACUAAUUCAAUGUAUGAAAACACUUAUAUCCAUAAGUGCGCACCACAACAAUCAUACUAAUUAUAUCAAAAGUUACCGGAAGGCGCCCCAAUCCCAACAAAUAUAAGGCAAAGUGAAAGAGAAAGGAUGCAACAUCUUAUACCAUUCAUCAUAUGGGUAUUCUGGAUUUUGAGGUGAUAUUGAGAUGGCCCAAUAUUUGAACUUGAAUUAUUAUAUAGUCCAUCAUUAACAACUUGUACAUGAUUUUCAAUGCAAUAUGUAGGUUCCGCAAUAUAGUGAUCUAUAUUUACCGUACUAUCUUCAGUAUGAUUUACAUUAGGCAGCAAAACUCAUGAAUUGGCCCGGUCUGCUUGAGCUCCAUCAACGUCAAGCUCAAGCAGCUUGAACUAGCCUUAAAGUUGAGUUUGAAUCCAAAUAUACUUGAUUUAAAGGUUUGUCGAACCUAAUAGUAUAAAAUUAGACGCAAGCCGCAAACUUGAAUUUGACUAAAUUCAAAUUUGAGCUCAAAUUUAAGUUUGAAUUUUACUAGGAGUUGACUCAAGUUCAAGCCUGGUAAAAUUAAAUUGAGUUUGUCCGAUUAACCAGAUUCAUUGCCAACUCUAACCAAUGGUGUUUCAGUUCUUUAAAACAAGCUUAACAGUUUGGCACUGUUGCACCCUUUAGUCGUCGUGGUCAACCUCUCUGCACUCUGUGCCGGUUGACUUAGGGGUUUUUUUUUUCUUGGGUAGAAAAGGAGGAGACUCAAUUGACUUUGGGUCUUGGCACUUUGUGCCCGUUGACUUGGGUCACUAUUGUUCUGUUCUAAAGCAAUUCAUUUUGAUGCUGUCAGACUGUUUUUCUUCUUUCACGAACCCCUAUCUAGAAAUCAAAAUUGUGAUUGGUUGUAACUUGUAACUAUGGCUGUGGGCCUUUUCUUUUUAAAGCUAACUGUCGCUGUGAGUUUAAAAGGAAUGAAAAAAAUAAACGCACUAUAAUAAUAUUAAUCUAGUGGCCGCGUAAAUUAGAGAUUUUGAAUUCAAAUCCCUCUUUUCCUCGUAAUUUUUUAAAUCUCACCUCUCAUUUGUCAAAAAAAAAAAAGUAAAUUUUGUAUUCUGCUGUCUACUGCGUGUAUUUACUAUUGUCUCCUUCAGAUAAAGAAACUAGUAGUAAAAUAAACUCCAGAACGAUAUGUUGUGGUUAACAGCGUUUUCAUGGAUUGACUUUGGUCCAGCCUUCUUAAUAGAAACUGGAAGACAUUGUGGUAGAUGGUAGAUGAUGAUGAUGAAAGAAAUACACAAAAAGAUGUAACAUUAAAACCGAAGAUACCUAAACGAGAACAAGGGGAUCCACCUUCUUCUCUUUCAUGAGGCUGAGAUUGCAGGAAUAGGUCAAUCCUAACUGGAUUAGACUUUGUGUGAUCCCAAUUUCGGAAGGUCCAGUUGUAUCGUCCCCACUGAUGUGUGAAAGUCAAAGUUUUCGGGCAUUUGAUCUUUGUUGCAGAACAUGCUUAGCAAACAAAUUGUGGUUGUUUACUUGUUGCAUGUGCAUGAUCAAGAUGUAUCGUGAUUGUGUUGUUGUUUAGCACAUUUUUUCAAGCCUUGGUAACUUUUUGUGUUUUCUUGAUGCAGUUAGUAAAGAGAACAAGCAAAUUUUCUUUAUUUAAGUUGUCUUUUUUUUCAAUAACAAUAGAAUAAAUUUACAUUACUUCAAACACUAGAAUCAUUAUGUAAGUUGCUGUCCUUUGAGUUCCAGUUUUUAAUUUGAAUUGCAAAAGCUUUUUUAGUUUGUGUUUUUAUUCUUAUUGAAUCCACGACAAUCUCUUCUAGUUAUAACUUAUAACCACUCCUGAUUUAAAGAUUACAAACGAGUUCAGUCGAAUUGAAAUUUAAUCUAAUCGAGUUGAGCUCAAUUUAAUUUUAUCAAACUCGAAUUCGAUGAGCUUUCAGUGUAAAGGUCGAGUUCGAGUUUGAACUCAGUUUCAAUCUAGUCGAGCUUAAAAAAUUAUUAUUUUUAUGUUUUAAAAAUAGAUAGAAAUGGACAUUUCACGCUAAUAAAUAAUAGAAAUAUUAGGGACAUGAAUGUAAUUUCACUACUAAUAAAGUAAGAAUAAAAAAUUAAAAAUAUAUUCAAGUCGGCUCAACUCAAUAAGCUUGUCCAACUAGUUCAAGUAGUUUUGAUCAAACCGGCUCGAUUGUUUUGCGGCCCUACUCUUAUAGUAGCAUCAUGUUUAGUGUCUGAUGUCUUGGGAGUCACAUGGAUAAAAUUUUGAUAUGUUACCUUCAAAUAUUUGAGAUCUGAUUGAAGCGAGAGUUCGAUAUGUCUAAAAUCUAGAUAAGCAAAGAUGUUUGAUAUGUCUAAAAUCUAGAAAUAAGCAAAGAUGUUAAGUAGGCAGUUUACUUACUCACAUCCAAAUACAAUUAGUGAUUGACAAUUACAUGUAAAUUUCAAAAUUACAGCGUUUGUGACUUCGCUAAAACCCAAAGAUAGAAUAGAAGCAACUCCCAUUGUCCCCUAUCUAGAGCAUCACCCAUGUGGUUUUCCCCUGAUCAGGGGAAAUUGUAACAUUGUUGAGUAGAAAGACAUAAACUAUACUGAAUGGUCCAUUUCCUCUUCGGUUUGGAUAUACACAUUCAGUUGUUGAUCACCCUACAGUUGGCCCGAAUCUCUCCAGCAUCUCCAGUCAGGACACCAAUCUGACCCAUUCUGACCAUUGCAUCAGCAAACUUAUUUUGCCAAAGAAGAGGGUUUUGAGCAUUUUGAAUCACUUGAUUUGCAGUUGAGGGAUUUGCCAAAAGAGUUUGGUCGGAAGUGAACAAGCCUCUGUUGGCUAGAAUGUUAUCAUAGUAACAUGUAUCCAUAAUGGUUGGGGUGGAAGGGUCCAUUGGCACCACUAAGUUAGGAUUGCUUAUGCUCCCUUGAGGGCACUGCUGUGCUAGCUGAGCUGCAUAUGAUGGAUCCAUACUCGGAUCCUGUGUCGUCGUGGUGUUGAAGUUGAAUAGUCUGUUGCUGAAUGAAAUGCAAUGUGAUCGCCCAAUGGUGUGUGCUCCUGAUCAAGUAAAAGUUAAACUUUCAAAUCAUAUACCUCAAUUAUACAUCGUGUGCUUUUCGGUUAUGUUGAAAUUGAUGUCCCAUGUCUUACCUGAAAGCGUUACCAUUUCAUCAGGCCGAAGUCCCUUAUUUGCAAAUGCUUGAAUGAGUUGGUUGACACCAAGGGCAGGAGAUGGCAAGUUUGCUGAUGCCUCUCUGGAUGAUGAGAUUCUGCCGUCUCUUCUUCCUGCAGGAACAUCGUAGCCAGGCCCUCCUGUCUGCAGGAAAAUACAAAUUUCAUGUUCUGUGCUUUAGGAUGACCAAAUAUGAAAGCUGAAGAAGAAUUAUAGGUCUCACUAUUUCCACACUGUCCCUUGCUGCAUAAGCAAGUAUAUCAGCACAUGAGACGAUUCCUGGACAUAAGAAUUCGAGUCUACUUUUUGCAUCGUCAAUGACUUCAAAGCCUCGAAGACUAGGAUUAUUUGCUGGUGCAUCUUUCUCUGCUUGAUUUGAAGGAGUGGAAUCAAUAAGCACCGAUCCGUCACAUCCCUGUAGAACAACAAAGAAGACAGACUAAAGGUUAUGAAUCCGGGAUCCAAAACAUGAUCACUGUCAUUAGCUGAGGAGAUAAUUCGCUUUCUAACAAUCCAAGUAUCUUGCGAAAGUAAAGUUCAAGUUAGCGAUCAUUGAUCAACUUACUAAUUCAAACAGCUCUAGUUUGUCAAAUGCCGAAUUUUGAAACUUAAAUGCUGGAAAGGAUUAAGUGACAAUCAGCUCUACUCACCCGAACAAAACAAUCGUGGAAAUGCAUCCUAACUAGGCCUGCAGCGACUCCCCUGUCAAGAAUGAACGCAUCCCUUACUUCUUCUUUGAUCAUAGAUUCUACAAAGUCACACACUCCAUUAUAAAACCCCACUUGGAGCUGAGCAUUUAAGGGAAUUACACAUUGGUAUACCACUAGAAUAAAAGUUGACAAUAUAAAACUUAGCUUAUUUGAGGCCAUUAUUGCUGUGUCUGCAGGGUUAUUGGUCUCAUAAUUCAGAUACUUAUAGGGAAUUUAGUACAGUAUCAUGCUAAUUACUAUUUACGUAAUUUGGGCUAAUCAGCCUAUAGUAUUUUUAAUCUUAUAAUGCGAUGUUAAAAGGCAGUAAGCUGUAAAGUCGCUUUUCCUUGGUUACAUGAAAAUCAGCAAAAGUGUUCUUAUUGAGAAGAAGAUGCAAAACAACUGGAGUGGGGUCUGACCACAAUUACUCGUAUAUCUUCCUGUUAAUACUAUGCUAGAUCCUAAAGGCCCUGUAAAGGGGGGCUGUUUAAAAAGGUUUAUGCAUCAGCUAUUUAUCAAGUCCAAUUGUGUUGACUUCCAUGAGAAAAAUCCAAGGAUAGUGGUUAAAGAUGGAAAGUUCUUAUCCAUUCAAGAUCCUGAGCACGUACAUUGUUUAAAGCUCACUGAUUAAAUCGCAUUUUGGAUUUUGUGCUUUCUAUCUAGCAUGCAACAGGACUUGAUUGGGAGCAUUCUAUGAUCUCAUUUACAACUUUGUGGUGUCAAGUGGUCCUAUCUUGUUGACUUUUUCCUUCUUCUUCUGAAGUAUUAAAUUGAGCAAUUGUUGGUGGGAUUUAGUUGAGCAGGUUAAUUUAUCUAUUAUUGAAGAUAAAUAGCCUUGCUCUGAUUCCUGAUGAACAACGCAAAUCUGCAGAGAUCUGCUGGAGGCAAAAAUCAUGCAGGAUAAUGACGCUUGCUUAUGUGAAAAUAAUGAUCACAUGCAUAAUACAACUGCACAAUGACGGCUACUUGAUUGAAAAGGAUGAGUCGUAUUGUUAAUUCAAUUUGAUAGACCAUUAACAUGAAUGCCGUGUAACGCGAGUUCGUGAUUAGAUCUUCUGAAGACCACCAUCCCUAAGUUUAUCAUCUACAAACGACCAGACCAAAAGAAUGAAGUCUGCGAAUUUCUUUUUCAAUUUCCACAAGGGGGAUUGUUGAGAUAUGCCACUUCUUUGCACAACCCUCUAAAUUCUUUUGAUACGAGAAUAAUUUAGUUAGUUGUUGAAUAAAUAUAGUUGUUAGAAUAUUUAUUAACAGAAAAUCAUGUUGAGUUAUUAACAAAUAUUUUUGCUAAGAUUUGUUAAGUAGAAGAUUAUCUUAAUUUGCUAGUAAGUAGUUUUGUUGAGAUUUUUAUGAAGAAUUGUUAACUAAAAAUUAUGUUAGUUUGUUGUUUGUAAACACUAUAAAUGGUGAUUUGAUGAAUGAGGAACAAAAGCUCAAUUUCACCCCACAAUGCAAGUGUUACUCAACUAUUGUGUUGCAACACUAAGUCUAAGACUUAGUGUUGUUUCUACCCUAAAUUCCAAUAAAGUAGAAUCAAGAGUCUAAGCCUUAAGGGAUUGUGUGUGUCUUUCUUGAGAGUGAGUGAAGGAUCCCUUUUCCGGUGUGAAACUAAAUACUUAUGGCUUGUGAAAAUUGCAAAGAAAGCUUGAGAUGCUUUCAAAGGGACUUUCUAAGGCAAUAAUAGAACAAGGCAAAUGCAAAUCUUGAAUUUUAGGAGGACAAAUAAGCUUGGAUGGUUGUCAACAAAAGGAGGGCCAAUUUUUCGUGGCUACUUAUUUUGCAAGCAAUAAUUCCAGUGCUAAAACUUGAUUAAUAGUUGGUGGUUAGUGGUUACACUCAUUGCAUGGGAUAUGAUGAAUCGAUAUUUUGAAAACUUGACAAAUCACAUAUCUCCAAAAUCAGAAUUGGAAGAAAAGCUUAUAUUGAUGUGAAAGGCAGAUGUAGUGUUGCUGUUAAUUAUGGUUCAUGUACCAAAAUUAUUUCUGAUGUAUGUUUUGUGUAUAUCUAAAAUUAAUCAAAAUUUGUUGAAUAUUGGACAGUUGUUGGAGAGGAAUUAUUCUAUCAUCAUCAAAAAUAGAACUUGUGUUAUCUAUGAUCCAUGAGCUUCUCUCAGUAAAAAUGAGAGGAAGAAAUUUUUCUUUGAAUUUGUCAAAAAUUGGCAAUUCUAAGGUAUAGCACAGUGACCCCAAAAAUUUAGAAAUUGAUAAAAUUCAGAAAGUGAUCAUUGAUUAGCCAAUCAAAAGAGUUUAUGUUGUGAAGAUUCAUGAAAAGAUAUCUAAAGAUGAUGGUGGUGACAAAUUAUCGAAUAGCCAUAAAAAAAUUUGAAGGAUUGUUUUGUCUCUCAUAAUAAUUAUUUUGUAGGUUGCGAAUUUCUUACACAAAUUUAUCUACUAUAUACAUAGAAAUUAUUUAGAUACGUCAAGGAUAUUAUCACUGAUUUUGAAGUUUGGCCCAAUAAAUCCAAAGAAUAGUUCAUUAGCUUGCAAACAUUUUUACAAAGGAUUCAUCAAAAAAAAAAAUAAUGUUUGAAGACUUAAAAACAGUUGGGGGCCUAUUGCAAAAGUAGCAAGGAGUAAUGCUAAGAUAAGUCACUUCUUAGCUUUUUCCAGAUUCUUUUAUUAUUAGAAUAAUUUAGGUAGUUGUUGAAUAAAUAUAGUUGUUAAGAUAUUUGUUAAUAGAAAAUCAUGUUGAAUAGUUAACAAAUAUUUUUGUUAGUAAAAUUUAUUAAGUAUAAGACUAUGAUAAUUUGUUAGCAACUAGUUUUAUUGAGAUUUUUAUGGAGAAUUGUUAGUUGGAAAUUAUGUUAGUUUGUUACCUGUGAACAUUAUAAAUAGUUAGUCAAUGAAUGAAGAAUAAAAGCUGAUUUCCACCCCUCAAUACAAAUCUUAGUGAGCUAUUUUUUUCAACACUAAGUAUUUGUCUAGCAGUCUAUGCUGUAAAACCCAACAGGCAUUUUGUUUAAGGACUAAUUACUCAGUUCCACUGUUGUUACAUUUUUUGCCAUCAGUCAAUUCCACUGUUGUUACAAUUUUGCAAUGCAUGGCUGCCUUCUUUGUUUUCCAUUUCCAUUGGCAAAUAGCUGCAGUUCUUCUAAGAAGUCAAAAUUGUAUAGCAAGUUCAAAAUUUUAUAGGCAAGUUACAAUUUGGCAGUCAAAUCCCUCUCAUCUUUGCCAUUUCAGCCCCAUGCUCUGCAAGUGACAGAGUUCCCUGAAUGGUUGCAUCAGUACAAAGGAGCCUAAGAAUUUAGAUCAAUUAACUGAGAUGAUGAUGAAUGGGACUCUUUUCAUCUUUCCAGGGGGAUCUGUUAAUUAAAGAUUACCUGAUACAGCAUGAUUUUGAUGCCUGAUGCAGUCGAGAUUUCGUGAAAGAAAAAAAAAAAUCCAUGAGUGGGAGGAAUAGUAGGGGAGAAGAAAAAGCACUCUUGUUACUUGGAGAAAUGAACUGGGAAGCAGGCUGCAGUUGGAGGUACAAUUCAGAAUAUAACAAAGUAUUGAAACUUUUGUUUUUUUUUUUUUAUUCUCAUUAUGUUUUCUCCCUCCUGAAGGCUUCAAGAAACACACCUUCUUCUCCUUGCUAUGUGGAAUGAUAGUAAUUCAAUCAAACAAAAGGGUCCAAUUAGAAAUGAAAAUAACUUCUUGCUAAAUCCUGAUAAAUGGAUAUCCCCUAACAUGUUUACGGUGGGGGGUUUUGGCAGUUGAGGUCAAGAUCAAAGCUUUAAGGAUUUAUGACCCUGCAGUUGGAUCGAAUUUCUCCAGCAGUUCCAGUAAGAACCUCAAUCUGACUCAUCUUUACCAUUGCAUCAGCAAAAUCUUCCUGCCAUUCUCGCUCGUUGAAUGCAUAUUCUCUGACUUCUGAAAGACUCUCUGGGCUGGUGAUGAGGGUCUGGUCGGAUGUGAGAACAACACGGUGUGCCAAGAUGUCCCUGUAAUAGCUAUUCUCGAAAAGAGCUGGACUCCUAUUCAUCGGCACCACCAAGUUAGGAUCAACAUCUCCUUGAGGGCCUUGAGGGCAUUGUAUCUUCAGUAGUGCAGCCAAGAAGCGGUCCAAGCUCGGAUCUUGACUGUUUGCUGGGCUGAAAUCGUAUAACCUAUUGCUGAAUGAUGUGCAAUGAGAGCGACCAAUUGUAUGCGCCCCUGUACACAAACAAAAUUCUUAGCAUGUUACUUAUGAACAAAUAGAUUAUGCAAAACCAAAAUAAAUCAGAAUUCAGACUUGAGCUUCACCUGAAAGUGCAAUCAUCUCAUCUUGGGUCAUAUUCUUCUUAGCAAAAGCCUGAGUGAUUUGAUCUAAAUUUUGAAAGGGUCCAGGAAUGUCUAUAGUCUCUGCAGCACGUGAGAUACGUCCAUCUCGCCUGCCUGCUGGAACACCCCAUCCGCGGCCUCCAGUCUGCAUAAUAUUCCCAGACAAAACAAGAAGUGCUUUUCAUUUUCUAGUCGAACAAAUCAGUAUGUGGUAGCAUCCAAUUUAACAAUUUUCUCAUGUAUCAACCAGCCAAAAAAUCUAUUACUAUUGCUUUUCUUUAGACAUUGUUGGUGUUUCACUCACAAUCACGACAGAGUCUCUGGCUGCAUAUGCUAAUAUAUCAGCACAGGACACAACUCCUUUGCAUUCUGCUUCAAGUCUGGCCUUGGCAUUGUCAACUACUUCCAGACCGCGAAGAGUGAUGCCAUUUGGAGGACCGUCCUUCUCUGCUACGUUUGUUGGUGUUGAAUCAAUGAAUAAGGAGCCAUCGCAACCCUGAAAGCCUUGUUAAAUUAGUACUAAUUGCUUGUUUAUGUCAUAGACUUUGCAUACUUUUUGUGACAAGAUGAAAACCUGAAACAAACUAGUUUCCUUGAAAAAACUUGACACUUGGGAGGCAUUACCCGAACAAAGCAAUCGUGGAAAUGAGCUCUGACGAGACCAGGAGCAAUUCCUUUAUCUUUGAGAAAGGCUUUGAGGACUUCUUCCCCUAUGAUUGAUUCUGUGCGAGGACAUCUACUGUUGUAGAAUCCCACUACUAGUUGUGCCUUAAUUUGAGAACUCAGGCAUAAAACAGUUGCUAACAGUGUAGCCAGCAGUGCCAUUUUUUGUUCUUGACACUGAUAGUGGUAUGCUUGAUAGUGAUAUGCAUCUAUGUUACUACAAGAGUUAUAUAAAGAAAUCCAUCUCCAUCACCAGGAAAACUAGCAAUUUCCAAGGCAAUAACGGCUUCAAAACAGAUAGCACUGGAAACAAGAGGAAAUGCCAAAUUUCGAGUUAAGUCCAUUCUUCACUCACGGUUAGAAGGUGUGGCCUAGAUCCCUAUUUCAUGCUUGCUUAGAAAGGAGAUUCAUUUCCCAUGACAAUAAAGAAUGAUUUGCAUAUGAUCUUAAAUGACUCUCAUUUACUAGUUACUGGACUGGCCAAUUCCUUGUUUUCAUCACAGACAUGCAGAAAUCCUAGUUGUAUAAGCUCUAACCCCAGUUUUUAAAGCUGCAAUUUCUUUAUUUAAUUUCUUGUUUGCUACUCAGAUGUUUAUCAUUCAACUUUUCUUAGUUUCAACUGAAAUGCAAGAAUUAUGGCAAAGAAUGACUGUCUUCUUGUUCUCUUUUUCCCUGCGAGAAAAGAAGGCUUUGAUAGGGCAAUUUAACGUAACAUAGUGGUUGACUAAAUAUUUUUUUCUAAUAUGCAUGCAAGCAAUAGACUAUUGCCGCAAUAGUAUGCUGAAGAUGAAGAACUUUUCAUUCAAGCACUUUAUCUUCAAUUCUCAAUUCUCCUGUCACCAUUAAUCAAAUUUUGCAUAUACACACUUGAUUGACAAUAUAACAGUCCAAUAGUUGAUGGAUUUUUAUUCUUGUAUAAUAAUUCAUUUUCCACUUCCUUUCCUCUCCCCUUUCUUGCUUUCUCAUACUAAAUGGAGGUGAUGUUAGCACUCUCUUUGAACCUUUUUCAUUUAUAUGAAAAGACAAGCAUAUCUCUAUAUUUCAUCGAAUUAUAACAUGGAGAAAGUGGAUGGUUUUAAGUUUAACUAAAAUUAUAUGGAUAUUUGUGAAAUUUUUCAUGUGAUUACAAAAAUCGAUAAAAGUGUUAUUGACAAAUAUAACAGUGCCACUAACAAUUUCUUUGUUCUGCUUUUAUAUGUUAUUAUCUUAGUCCAUAUAUUGUUAUUUCAAGGGUUUUUAACAGGUCUGCGAUGCGAUGUCCUUAGAUGUUCUGAGCCGCACAAAAAGAAAAAAUUGUUAUCUUAAUGUUUACACCUUGUGAAUACAUUGGCAAUCCACAUGAUUUGACCGCAUAAUUCAGCAAAUCUGCAAAAGAAAAUCGAUCUGGUCACGAAGGGCUGCCGAUUUUUAGGGAUUGGGACAUCCAAGUUGUUGAACUUUAACUUCAUCAAGUAUAUUUGAUGACCCAUAUGAUUUUUUUGUCUCCAUGACUCCAUGCUGUUCGUUUCUUUUGAUAUAUAUAGUAAUUGCAUCAACAGAUAGCUAAAACCAAAUUCAAAGUUUUUUUUUUCUUUUUUGGUCCCUAUCUUUCGUGUGAACCUCUAAUUUGUCAUCUGAUUGCGUUUUAUUCUUGCAAUCGAAGAAAAUCAUUGAUUUCAAACUUCAUACCAGAGAUUUCAAAGAAGAAUUUAUUUCGAUUUUAAUUCCACUAAUUUGAGAUGUUUUUAGCUCCCCACUGCGUCAGAUAGGCCUGAGACGCUCAAUGGAAUCAUGUGUUGCUGGAAUCUUUUGUUUAACACUGCUGUAACUCUUCAACAACCACCUCUCUAGGUCCUGUAAUUGCUGUCCAAUCUACUUCUUUGAUACAGACAUCAAAAGCCCAACCUUCUCAAAUUCCCAGUCUACUCUUCAGGUAACAAUAAUGAGUGUAAUUUCUGAUAUUCUUGCUCCCUGCUUCAUACUCUUAUCUCCAAACCCAUACUACUGUUUGUAUAUUUAUAGCAACUUGAGAUACACAUGAGCGGACAAAGUAAUACACAGCAUGCUUGAACAAAAGAUGGGGUACCACAUCAACCAUUGACUGAAACAGGUAUUAACCAAUGAUGCUUGGCCACCUAGUUUAUUAAAUAGCAGAAAGAAACAUCAACAAUCAACUCUCAACUUCUAUUACAAGACAUACAAUGUAAAAUUCAGGAACAAAACUGCAUUAGCACUCAGUGAAAUACUACUGAUGAUUGUAGCUCCUAAUCAUAUUCUCAGCUGUGUCACUAUUUACGCUAAAGAAAAUGACACAAAUAUACAUAUCUAUAAAGAAGUAAUUCCCCAUAAUGGGCAUUGGAGUAGGCAUGAUUUACACUCUGUUGUCUCAAAAAAGAGUGGAGAACAACUCGUUAUGUGACCCGCUUCUCAACUUAUGCACGCCUACUUCAGCUUUAAUGAGAAAAGCUAAACCAUCUUUCUCGUUCACUCCAUUGAUGCAACUGAAGAUGGAUGAUUAGCCACAAGCUCGUAACCAUCUCCAUUGUCAUUCUCUUCUUCCUCUUCCAUAGCAUCAUCUUCUCUAUUUUCGUCGGCAUUCUCGCUCCCACCAUCUUCUGUUAAUUGUUGAUGCUGAGGCUGCUGCUCUUGCUGCCCCAUCAUUUGCAUUAAGAUGUGUUCUGGUUCUAGAUUAUUACCAGACCACUCGGCAUUCUGUUCAACUCCUUUAGACUUUUUUUCAUAGAUAGACUCGAGCAAAUGGAAGUAGGGACAUGUUUUUGAACUUUCUGGCCUCCGCUUAUGGCUCUCCCUUACCCUCUUGUAGUAUUUAUUUAUAUUCUCCCACUUUUCUUUGCAUCUCUUGGCACUUCUAUCAUAACCAAGCUUCUUCAUAGCAGAAGAGAUCUCCUCCCACAGAGGCCCCUUGAGUCCAUUAUCUUGGAAUUGCAUGCCAAGAUUGGUUCUAAGCCUAACCAAAGCUUCAACUUCUGCUUUAGGCCAUCUUGAUGUAGUUGCCUGAAUGGAACUUUCACCAAAACCAUUCCCUCGUUUGUCAACAUCGAACGCAUCCUCUUGUCUGCCAAUACUAGUGCCUAACUCUUGAUUCUCAAUGGUCCCAGGUGUAAAAGGACCUGGAGUCUGCACUUGCUGUUUGUCCGGAUGUUUCUCAGAUAUUGGAGUUGCGGCCUCAGCAAACUGCCCAGGAAUUGCUUGCUCCGAGAUCUUUUGCAAGAAAGCCAUGACAGUUGCAUCUCUUGCUGCAGAAAUUGCUCGCUCAUUGGCUAAAUAUUCUUGUUCUUUUCUUAUUCGAUCCAUCUGUUGCAGCCUCCAUGCUUCUUCCCUUGCUAUCCGAUCCCUCUCACACUUUUCCAGUGCCGCUAGAAGCUGGUUCUGUAAAUUCUCUUGCUUCUCCAAUAUUUCUUUCAUUAACUUCUCAAAAUAAUCAGAUAAUUUCCUCUUUUUCUUAACGCUUCCUUCUGACUCCCUCCCUGAUGAGGAGGUUGUUGACGUUGACGGAGUCACGAAUUCCAUAUUCGGAUUUUCGCUUGGAUGAGGCACCAUAGAAUCAAGACUUCCACUUGUGACUUUUAUGAUUGUUGGCGCUGCUAUGGUGGUUGUCUGUGUUGUUUCCGCCACAUGAGUUUGGAUUUGGCUUAAAGGAGGCGAUGGAAGUGAGGGUUGGUUAUCAAACCUCUCUAAUUGCUCAAAGAAUCUAUAAUUUUUCCCGUUCUGCCGGCCAGAUCGACAAUCUUUCGUUCUUUUAUGGUACUUAAAUAUAUUCUCAAACUUCUCCUUGCAUUUCCUAGCACUUCGAUGAUAUCCAAGCUCACCUAAUUUCCUGUCCACCAAAAGAUCCAUAAAUCCAUUUGGACACGCAAUCCAACUUCUAAUUCAAUAAUCAAACUCAAGCCAAAAAAAAACUCUUCCACCAUCAAAGUACAUGCUAAAAUAACAAACAUCCAAUUCAGUAAGGCACUUUCACACGCUGAUGAACCCCAGAACAAUUCAAUGAUUAAAUUAACAUGUUUUAAGCAGCAAAACACCAACCCAAUUAUCAAAAUCAAACAAAAACAUCGAAUCUAACAAAACCCAAUUGAAUUUGAACCAUAAACUCUCCCAUCCCAUUCAAAAGUUCACAGCUUUUCAGCUGACGAAAUGAGGAAAGUAUCCCAUCUAAAACUAAACUUCUACCAAUCCAACACAUCAAACAAAUCCAAAAAUCUUGAAACCAGUGACGGAAGAUUACAGUAGCAUACCUGGUAACUUCAUCCCAAAGAGGAGCUUUGACAGUGGAGUCCCGAAAUGCAAGGUCCAUAUCAGCCCUUAUCUUCAGCAAAGCUAAAGUUUCUUCACGUGGCCACCUAUUUCCUCCUUCCCCUUUUCCUCUCUCCUCCUCCUCUCCUCCUCCUCCUCCUCCUCCUCCUCCACCGCCAUUUUCCGCCCCAACCAUCACCUCCGCCGCAGCCUCCAAAGGGGCUGCCCCACUCCCACCGCCACCGCCUCCGCCAGAAUUAUCUAGCAUGACUUCACUUGAGAUGGGUAGUUUUAUGAAAGGUAAAAACUUUAAGUUGUUUUUCUCUAAUGGGCUUUGUUUUGAUAUUUAUGGGUUUAGUAAAGUUUUAUGCUUCUCACCCAAUUUACUAUUUAGCCACUUUUUCCCCCUUUUUCUCUUUAAAAAAAAUUCCCUUUUUUUUUUUUUUUUUUUUUGGGCUGGUGAAGUGAAAGUGAAGGAGAGAUGAAUUUAUUAGGGUUUGGGAAAAGAGAUAAAGACUCAAGAGGCAAGGUUCACGUGUGGGGUCAUGGUAGAUAGGAUUGAUGAUAUGUCAAGAAAUGGUUGGUUGGAGUGGUAAAAAGUUGAAUUUUCCAUUUUCACUUUUACUUUGACUUUUCUUACUAAGCAAUUAAAUUUUGACGGCUAGGCAAUUUGCAAUUUUUUUUUUUUUUGAUGGGGUGGGGCGGUAAUUGGGAUAUUGUUGGUGGAGUCCAUUCAAAUCAAUCUAUUACUACUAUUAGGGGGAAGACAACUAGGAAUAUAAAGUUAUGGAGUGUUGGGAAAGGGUGUGAGGUCAAAAAGGGUGGAAAGGGAAAGAAAGGAGAAAGAUGAAAAGAAGAAGUUGGAAUGAAGAUAAUUUCGCUUUGAUUUUAACACUUGGGGUCAUUGUGGAGGCAUCUAAUCCAAUCUACGUGUGGAAGAUAGAGAUGAGAUGAUGAGAGGGAGAUUUGUCAUACAUAUCUUCUUAUAUUAUUGUAGUAUAGUUGUAAUAAACAUUGGUGUGUCAUGAAACUUUGAGAGUAUUUUAUGUCAAGUUGAGAUUUGUAGGAUUGUCAUUGUAUGGGGUGGGAGAUAAUAAGUCGGCCCACAUGGCCGCAGUUUUGCCUUUGAAGCUUUGCUUCUUUUCACACUUUUGGUUUGCCAAUUACCAUAUGGUCUUUGAUCCAUUUUGGCAUGAGUGACAUCCGAUAGAGACUAAUUUGUUUACAUUUUUUUAUUCUAAAUUGCCUUUUAUGCGGACAAGGGAUAAUACCAGGUUCCUCUUAAUAUCACCGGACAGCUUUAAGGUUUUAAAAACAUCAUUUACCUUUUUUUGCUCUUGUUGUUUGUGUAAUAAAAUUUCUAAAUUAUCCUUUCGCUCAUUCUGCUAAAUAAAAAUACUUCAUAACCACUUUGUUUGCUCCAAGAAAAUCCACCGCCUGAAAAACAAUCUCUAGCAGUACCACUAUAUCACAAAUCUAUAGACCACGACAAUAUAAAUUUGAAAAAUAAAAUAGAUAUUUGUAAAUUCAUAGAAAUCUAAGUUCAAAUUUGGAAUAUAAGUGAAAAAUAGAGUCUAGAAGUGUAAUUUUAUCUAAAUUUGACAACACUAACAUAGUGAUCAAUCAUUAGUCAACGACAAUCAAAGUCCAUUGAAGGGCGGUUAGUAAUUAUAGAGGUGAUUAAACAUGAUUAGAGGACUGGAGAUAAUCAAAACUACAUCAUUUUGAGAUGGAUUUUGAUAGAAAUAAUGGUUGAAAUUGACGAAAGGAUUAGAAAUAGACAUUAUCAUAAAUUAAAGGACUAAAAAAUGUACGAAUAUUAGUUGGAGGGUUGAAAGCGUACGAGCUUAGUAGUUCGGGACUUUCUAGAUUUUUUAUCCAAAAAGAAAUGUUACUUACAUACCUCUAUUUGAUAACCACAGAUCCUCGCUACAUUAAAUCGUCCAAAGACGCAAUAAAAAUUAAGAUGACAAGAGUACGUGAAUAUCAUUUUAUCAAAGAAAAAAAAAGGUAAAGGCUGCACAUUAAUUUUUCUUGCGCCUUUUUUUAGAAUUAAUAUUCUAUACACUAACAGUAUAUAUACGUACUCAAUUGGAUGAAUGAUAUAUAAUUUGAAUUUAAAAUCCAAAUUUUAUACAUGUAUCACGCAUUUAACCGUCAUAAUAUGUACACUGUUAGAGUAUAUAAGAUUUACUCUUUUUUUAACGCGUUCAUGUAUCAUGCUUGGAGGCUUGAAGCUGCUGGUAUUUGGGUCCAAUGAACUUGAUCAAAUCCAACCAUUGACUUUAACAAAUUCUCCAAAAGCCAUCAUGGCCUGGACAGAAAAAGGGCUGGACUAAUCAUUUGAGCUAUCUUUAUAGAAAUGGUUUUGGAAAUUCAUAAUCUAAAGCCUUAAGGUGUCAUUUUCAAUUUCCAUGUUGCCAAACAGUGAAGUAAUUAUCUUUGGCCCCUUCUUUUCUACCACUAGAAGUGCAAUUUGUGAUGGCUGUCCUUAGAUAUUUCCAACACGGUACAAUUUCAAUUUGUGAGGGCUGUUUUGAUUGUGACCGGCCAAUUUGUGAGGCUUCUUUACCUCACUUUUCCUUUUGACAACUAUAAUAGGGAUUUUGACAUUCCCAUUGAAAGUGCCAAAGGAAAUUAUUACAUGAUAAUUGUGACUGUUGUUCAUUCUUCUGAAGCAUGAUUUUUUUUUUUACUUUGGUCAAGGAUAAGGACAAAGAAAGAAAGGCAUAAAGUGCGAGGUAAAGAGAAUUGACCAUUCUUAAUCAAUCAAGAAAACCAUAUAUUUUUACAAAAAAAAAAAAAGAACCCUAUUUUCAUUGGCAAUUCGUGCAUCACACAAUGCCUUUCAAGCCACUACUUCAAUUAGCAACUUUAAAGUUGUUACUCCACUUAGUGACUUUAAAGUUCCACCUUCCUAGUGCAAUGCUAUUGAGCAAUACUUAAGACCACAUAACUCACAAGCAGUUAUAAAAUUGAACAUGGAUUCUGGGAUAACUUACAGUAGUGUUGUGAGGAAGAAGCCAAUUGUCCAAAUUUAGCUUUAUACUUUUGUCGGUGUAGGUUUAUAUUUUUUGAAAGAAAAUACUCGUAUAUGUUAUUUUAUACCAAAGACUUUUUUUUUUCAUUUUUUGGUAUUACUAACAAUACAUGCUGCAUCUUUUGGUUUUUAACUUCUUAAAACCCCUUGUAGUUAUUGAAUGUGAUUUGUCAACUAAAGAUUGAACUAAUUACCUUCAUUGAUCUAAGUGUCACAUGUAAUUAUGGCAAUAAAUAUACACUGUGAAGCUAAAUUGGUUCAAACUUAAUUUGCCCCUAACACAAAUUUUCAAUAUGUUUGGUGAAAAUUUGGUAGCAUAAUCACGGAUCCAAAAGUGUUUAAUAACCUUUAGACAACCUUUUAGGUAUAGUGAUUAACCUUUUGAUGAGGGGUUUAAGGAUUUAAUUUUCAAGAACCAUACUCUGAUGUUACAAGAGCUUAUUUUUUAGUCUGAAUUUCAUUGGAAGUUUAUUUAUUUAUUUAUUUUUACAUUAAUUUCAUUUGAAGUUUUGAUGCUCCCCCUUGAAUCUUUCCUUCAAAGUUUAACUCGCAAAAAUUACUGUAUGGCAAAAAUAACUCCCUUGAAUCUACCAUAACCCGUUGUAUUUUUUUUAAUUUAUACUUUUUCAAAUUUGAAAUUUAAUUUUGCUUCAAUGCAUUAAAAAUCCCAUGAAAAUUGCACUUUUCAACCACUAGAAUGAAUGUAAAGCCCCUUUGCUUGCAUAAAUAGAUUCCCUCAAACUUUGGUAAAACUCAAUCCAUGAUAUUAUAUCUUCAAUUUACAAAAGGAAAAAAUUCAGCAAGUUUCCCUUGAGGUUUUUUUACAAUUUCAAUUGGUACCCUUAAGGCUUCAAAUAUCAUCAUGUUUGCUUUCUUUUAUAUUGAGUUUCAAUAUAACAAAUUCAACCCGUCGACACAAAAAAACUUCAUGCAAAAUGCUAACAAAUACUUGUCCAAAUUACCUUUGCGUGUGACGCACGUUAAAUUCAAUAUAACAGAAUUAACUAAGAAAAAGAUUUGUGAGGCAAAAAAAAAAGAAUAAAAAGUUAAUUACUUGCCAUAGACAAAAUCACUUUUUCUUUUUCCCUUGUUGAAAGAAAAAUUUUAAACUUUAUUAGGUGCUAAAAAAUUUUAAACCUUGGGAGGGAGAAAAUGAGAAUCGGACCUGUUAAAGCAAGUCUCAAAAACGAGCGCACGCAGGUUAAAUUAAACAGGAACAGAUUUGGUGCUCGUUGGGCCGUAGUGCAUGUCAAAUUGGUUGGCCAAGACACGCCCAAAACCCAUGAAGAAUAUGGGCUUAAAUCAUCCCACCACGCUUUCUAAACCCAUUCACUCUGAGUCAAAACCAGUCCAUCUGCAACCGUUUUUCGUUACUCCUUCCGCCCAACUAUUUUGUUACAUUUCAAGAAUUUAACUGUUUAAAAAUAGCAAUUUGAUUGUGCUGUUUGUAUUUUUUUUAAUUUUAUUUUCAUAAAUUCAAAUUUUGAAUUUAAAUGAUGACAUGCAUAUGAUUAAAGGAAGGAAUUAUAUUAAAAGAAAAAAAUUAAAAAUUGUUAACUUUCUCAAUGUGACAAAUAUUUUGGCACAUUUCAAAAUAGAAAAUAUAACACUCUUAAUGAAACGAAGGGAAUAAUAUCUUCAAGGCUUGGCUAACGGAUACUCAAAAUUGCAACUGAGAGGAGUCUCAAAUUAACAAUACAACUACGGCACCGAUUUUUUUUUUUUUCCGUAGCACCAGUAAGAAAAAAUCAUCCUUUUUUUAGUAGAAAUAAGAAAACCCUCAAAAUUCAAUUAUUUGGAUUAUUUACUCCUUCUGUUCCACAAAGACAGGCCUACUUCUACUUUGUACAGUUGAAGUAGUUAAAACAUUCAUUAUUGCUUCUUAAUUUCUUGAUAUACCUCUCGAGUAGUACUAGUUUAAGUGUUAUAUUUAUGAAUUUUUCUAACAAGUGCCCCCUAGAGGGUUUCGUUAACACACUUAUCAUUCACCUAAUCUAUUAUAUAUAUAUAUAGACACACACAUACUAACAAUUGUUAUCCUCCUUUACAUUUAUAUAAUUUUUCUAUUUAAUCUUAUCUACCCUCUUUUGUAUUUAUUUAUUUUUUUCUAAUUUAUCUUAUAUUUUUAAAAAAUAUAACACAUGAAAUAUAUCUUGGACCGACCUUAUAUUUAUUAUUGCAACUAGAAUACCUGACUCAUGGAGUAGCAUAAAUACCAAUAAAGAUGCGCAUUAAAUAUGGAUAUAAUAGUAAAAUGAUAAACUACGUACCUUUCUGAAAGAAAGAAAGUGAGCAUAAAAUAAAGGGAAAAGGAAAGCGAAGCUAUAUUCGAUGAAGGGCGUGUCAAGUAGGGAAACCAGUAAAAUUUAUGCUCCACUCUUUUCUUUUUGAGUCUCUAUAUUCUUUACGUUAUGUUUUCCAUCUUUUGGACUUUUUUCCCUGCCUUAGGCCCUUAGCCGGUUGCCUUAUAAACCCUUAAAAAAAGAAAGAAAAGUAGGCACUGUGGUAAAUAUUAAGCUAAAGCUUAUUAUUGACACUUGACAGAGAAGACGAAGAUGGGGGUCACGAAAGAGCAGGUUGAAUCUUCCCUCAAAUCCAAACUCAGCCCUUCUCAUCUUGUAAGCCUCUCCGUUUAUAUCUCUAUUUUAUUUAUGCUAUACUGUAUUUGCAUGCAUCUGUUUAUAUGCCUGUCCAAGUUUCAAUCUUUUUUUAGUUAACAUGUAUUAAAUUUCAUCAUGGAGUAGUGUAAUUUUUUUUUUUGUUGUAAAUGGUUAUUGCUUAAAUGGGGGUUUUUUGGCUUAUUGAUAGAAUGUUAAUAGAGUAUUUCAGGCAAGCAUCCGAAAGGGUUUUUAGUUUUGGUGCUUUAAUCUUGAAAAGGGGAGAGAGAUUUGGAACUGGUUGGUCUUUGGGCUGAUUUUUAAAUGAGUUUUUAGUUUGAUUAAAAGGGCAUGUUGAUUUGUGCAAUUUUCUCUUUGGUUUAAUAGAGUUUGAUUCGUGGUAUGAGAAAUUAGGAUGCAAUUUAAUAUGAUUGUUAAAGGAUAGGUGGUGCUGAUUAUCGAACUAUUCCACUAACUUUUUGCAAUCAAUUACAGAAGGAUGUAGCUCUGUUCUUGCAUACGUUUCUUAUCGUGUUUAAUAUGAGGUUCAUUUUGCUUGGAUAUAGUGGUAAAUGUGUAAGGAGCUGGUCUUUCAUAUGUUCUUGUGAAAAACUCUCAAAUCAUAGCUUGGCAAUUGUUUCUGAAGAACUUUCUGAAAAGGUAUUUUGUUCAGCACAUUAGUGCUUUAGGACCAGUGAUGUGGGGAUUAGGGUGACAUUCUCAGUUUUUAUCCAUUCAUCAUAAAUGGGUUUGGUUGACUGAAAAACCUGAAUGCAUGUGAAUUGGUCACCAGUUGCAGUGCAGUGGAUUUGUGGAUUUUGAAUUGUGAUCUCUCUAAUCUUGUGAUCUAGCUAAGUCCUUUUUAGCACAACAAAAGCUUGUAAAACCAAAAAGAUUAACUUGACUGGGAAGAAAAUGUGUAUAAACAACAAUAGAAAGAUGAAACUUCUCCAACUCAUCACUGCACUAUCUAAUGCUGCUCUAUCAUCUUUGUCCCCUUCUUCUUAGAUAAAACUGAUGAGGGAAAAUAUGUGGUUCUUAGAACUUGUCUUUGACUCCAAUGGGAGACAUAUGGUUGAGGUGUGGAUGAAGCACUUGAAUUUUAACUGUUCUAUUGAGGGGAUGGAUGAAUGAAGUUUGGAUAAUCAGGUUCACUUGAAUAGGAUUUGACUAAUACAGAAUUAGACAAAGAAAAUAACUAGAAAAGAUCCUGAAGUUAUAUAACUUCGACGCAUGAUAUUUGAUAACCCUUUGUAGUGUAUGGCUCCAUUCUGAACCAGGCUAUUUCUUGUCAUUAGCAUCUGAAGCUGAAUUCAUUGCAAAGCAUGGGAUUUUGAGGCUUUCUUUAUGAUUUAGUUAUUUGAUGUCUCCCUCACUCUCACAUGAGUGCCAAGUAAAUGGGAUGCAGCCAAAAUGCCAGUAGCCCUUGAAAGAUGUUAAAUUUUCUGGUCAUAUAUUUUAAGAAAGGUGAUAAAGAAAUUUUCAAUAAAAAGCUACAAGACUUUUAUGAAUUUCAUUUCCAAUUCCCAAGUCACGCUUUACUGCAUAUAUGUGCUCCUUGAUGCCCAAAUUCUGAUAUUUAGGGGUAUUUGACUUAUACUUUGGACCACCAUUUUCAUGCUGCCUACUGGAACUUUCAGAUUUGUUACUUAAAUAGGUCACAAUUAGCUCUUACUUUUUUUUUCUUGGUUGCUACAGUUCUGUGUUUAUCCUGAUCUUUAUGGUUUUAAAUUGUGGGAGUCCAGUUUUAAGCCACUCCAGCAGUUAAGGUUUUGCUUAUUUUGACCAUUUUUAUCACCUUAACCAUGGAAUGGCCAUCAUGAGUAAUAGUGCAUGUCUGCUGAAAUAAAUAUUUAUUCUUGGCUAGGCUUCUUCACUACAAACACAAUUUCCCAUGCAUUUCCUAAUAAAAGGGCUAAGUUGGUAAGAGUUGCCGUGUUCAAGCGCACAAAGCAUGAUUCUCUCCCAUUGUCUAGUUAAAAACUUCAUUUAGUAGCUUUGUUUGUCCUUUUUUCCACCUUUCUUCUUUGCCUAGAUGUGAAUUAUAUUGUUUCUCUAACUUAAUUUGUCUGACAAUUUAAUUUCAGGAAGUAGUUGAUGUCUCUGGUGGGUAAGUUUCUUUCUUUUGAAAAAUUUCAUGAGAUAUGUUUAUGAAUUAGUUAUUCAGUGACAAAAUUGUUUAUUCAUCAGAUGUGGUGCGAAGUUUACCGUUGAGAUUGUGUCUGAACAAUUUGAAGGGAAAAGGCUACUCGAGAGGCACAGAAUGGUGAAUGCUGCAUUGUCUGAGGAGUUGAAAGAUAUUCAUGCUCUCUCUAUAACAAAAGCUCUCACUCCAAAUCAGUGGGAACAGCAGCAAGAAUCUGAAAAAUCUCAAGCAGCAGUUUGAAGUUUGCUUCUGACGGCAUUUGCCAGCUAGAAAAACCUGAUGUCUCGUGUGUUACACUACAGCUUCUUUCGUGAAAAAGACUGCACCUUUAGAUCCUUCCUACAAAUCUUAGCAUGAUGCUCCUCAAUUUAAAUCUUGAAUACCGUUUGUCAUUUUGGUAGUAAAUCCUCUAGCAGCGAUAAAGCUUCGUUUGAUCGGAAUAAACUUGGCUUAGUGCAUAAAUUUAACAGUCUGGUCUUUGAGUUAUGACGAAGACUUGAAUAAAUUCAAUGACAUUUGACAGGUGAUGAUGAUCUUUUGGCUUGCAUUAAUUGAUGGUCUGGAUUUCCUCCUUUUCAGAUUAUGGAGUCUAACAGCAAAUUAGCAGUUGCAACUUGUGUAGCACUUUCAAUUCAGAGUCAGACGUUAAAAAAAUAUCAAUUCUCAAAUUUGGCACCUUAAAAGUCAUAAUAUAAUCGGUCAAAGCCCUAUGAGUUUCGAAAUUUCUUUUCCUUGAGAACACAACUUCAAAUGCAGGGUAAAACUUGCCUGAUCAAAAGUAAAAUUUGCUUGGUGGGCCAAUUGUUACAUUACGUGGCUCUCCAAAAAAAAAAAAAUUCAGACGGGUGUGUAGUGCACCUGUCUGGUUCGAUGAUGCUUCAGUUCCCGUCGGUCUCCCUAUAUGUCCAGUUGGACCCUCUCUUAGAAUAGACUAAAGUAGGAGUAGAAGUAGGUGUAAAGUAGAAUAUUGCCAAUAGUCAGAUUAUGAAGUCUAACAGCAAAUUAGCAAUUGCAACUUGUGUAGCAUUUUCAAUUAGGGUUAAUCUUUUCUAUACUAACAGGAGUAAUCUUAUGCUAUACACUGUUAGUUUUAAAUGAAUGACAAUUAUACAAAAUUUAAAUUUGAAAUUUAAUUUUUACACAUGAGUCAUGAAUUUAACGAUGAGAGUGUAUACACUAUCAGUUUAUAUAAAAUUUACCCUUUCAUCAAUUAAGAGUCAGAAGUUCAAAAAAAUUAUCAAUGCUCAAAUUCGCCACCUUAAAAGUCAUAGUAUAAUCAGCCAAAGGUCCAUUUGAGUUUCGAAAUUUCUUUUCCUUAAGAACGCAACCUCAAAUGCAGAGGUAUGAAAAUCAGCCUGAUCAAGAGGUACAUUGGUGUGGGCUGUGGCGUGCAUGAAAUCCAACUACCCAAGUACAUGUUGUACAAAAGCCUUCAAAGCCCGUGAAAACUUGUCCAUCAAAAUAAGGGUCAGAAUUUUCUAAUGGUACAAUCUGAAAGUAAUAGUCCUCAAAUUUUGAGCAGAUGGAUAGAAAAGUCAGAGUUGGGACGGUGGCACACCGUGCAAGAUAAAACUCUCCUGCCAAAGGUUCUACUUCCUCAAACCAUCCAGUGUCUCAAAAGGUUCGGGAAGCUAAAACGAAGAUUCAAACUGAUUUGGAGCAAUGGCCACAAAGCUUAUCCACCCUCCAAAAUCUGCUCCAAAUUUGUUUCAUCCAAUAGCAAGCAGUGCCGUAAAGAUAAUGAGAGCUCACAAAGCUCUCUCAGCCACUCACUCAAGUCACAAAAACUGCAGUAGAUUUAGUGAAUAUCCCUUUGGACUAAGAACCAUUGUUUCAACCAAAGCUACUGAAAAAAGUUUUGGAGUUGAAGUUCAGGAUGAGAAGCAGACAAUUCAGCAAACUAAACAAUCCCUUUAUGAUGCACUACAAGGUAUGCUCUCCUGUUUUGAGACUUCUAGUUGAAUCUUGAAAUCCCUUAGUUGUCGAUUGUUUUCUUCGCUGCGUUGCCUACCUUCUGAAAUGAAUGUAUGUCACUCAAGGCAUCAACAGAGGGAUUUUCGGAGUUUCAUCGGAAAAGAAAGCCGAGAUUACAAGACUGAUAGAGCUGCUGGAGUCUCAAAAUCCAAGUCCAGAACCAACUAUGAAUAUAGAGAAGGUGAGGUCUGUACUAGUUGGAAUCAUGUAGGAAUCGCACUUGUUGCUGGUCUAACUUUGUAUUCAAGAAUCUUAAGUUGGUGAUAUUGUCAUCGUUUGGAAGAUGGGAGGAACUUGGAAGCUUGUUUACAGCACCAUCACCAUCCUGGGGUCAAAAAGAACCAAACUAGGAUUGAGAGACUUCAUUAGCUUGGGAGAUUUCUUCCAGGACAUUGAUACAGUUGAGGUAUAUCUACACUAUUUAUCAGUAAGAACUUUUUUUUUCAUUUUUAAACCAUAUCAAUUAAUUGAACUACGAGGAGAGGAAUACCUUGAUCAAAUGCAAGAUAAUCCAACUUGUUGAGGGGUUGCCUUAAUCGCUAGGUAAUGUUUUGUUCAUCUAUUCCUGUUUUUGGUGGUUCAUUAGUUUAUUUCUUAAAGGUAAGGCUGUCAACAUGCAUCGCCCGUAUGUUUAUGCAAGCGCUCAAAAACCAAAACGAUAAUCCAAAUAAGCUUUUGUCAGACCCAUAAUAUCUUUGGCCUUUGAACUUGUACUGCUGGUCUUUGAGCCAGAAAUAGUGCGAUGAGGAAAUCAUGUUCGUAAAUUGUCCAUCAAUAGAAUUAUACAGUUCCGGGCUUCUAGCAAAUUUUCGCUCAUCUUCCGUAAAAAUAUAUAGACCAGAAACAAGUAAAAUUCAUCUUUUAGCCUCCAUACUGUUCAGCAUUGCUCAGGCAGUUGGCCUUAUUCUCUUACUCUAGAAUCUUAUUAAACUCUUUCAUCUUCUGGUUGCAAAUGGAGGGGAAAGCAGUCAAUGUGAUUGAGUUCAGCGCUAAAGGUCUCAAUUUGUUCCGGGGGCAGCUAAAAGUUGAAGCAACUUUCAAGAUUGCUUCUAAAUCAGUUAAGCUUCCAUCUGCUUUUCCGGCUACUUUGUACUGCUGAAACGUUCAUUUUCUUGAAGCCUCAUUUUGGAUCUUGAAAUUUCGUUUACUGACAAAAUGUUAAACUAGUUCUCCAUGAAUUCAAGUAAUUAGCUCUUGUGAUUGUUGUUUAUAAAUCAUUUUUGGACUUGCUUUUAUUUCCCAAAAAUAAAUAAAAUAAAAUAAAAUCCUUUUCCAUAGUGAAUUGCAGGCCUUCAAUCAGGAACUUUGCAUUAAAGAUGCUAACCACAUUUAUUAUGUUUUGCUCACAGAGGGUUGAUAUACGGUAUGAAAAUUCUACAAUCACUCCUGAACAGGUAAAUAUAGUUCUAGUCCACCAUUAAAUUCAAAAGACCGAGCAGUAAAGAAAUGCUGUUACUUGAAUCUGCCUUUCAACCCGAAACUGUACUUACAAUGGAUGACUUAUCAGUGGCUUAUUUUCCAUGCAACAGCUGAUGAAUCUAUUUGAGAAAAACUACGAUCUUCUUCUCAGCAUUUUCAACCCAGAAGGCUGGUUGAAUAUCACGUAUCCUUUCUUAUUGGAUUCAAUAGAAAUAAAGACAAAAUAUUUCUUUUUUGGGUUCUGUAAUAUUUUGCAAAUGAGAAAAAACCAUAUGCUAAAAUGCUUCAUCCUUGACUGUUUUCCUAGAUAUGUAGAUGAAAAUUUAAGAAUAGGAAGGGAUGACAAGGGCAAUAUCUUUGUAUUAGAGAGAUCAUGAAAAGGGCAGUCUAAAUAUCAAGAAUUCUUGGAUUAACCUCCAUGUAACCAAUUUAUUUUUUUUUUUCCCACAGAAUGGAGUGAUUUUACUGUUAAAAUAUCAAAGCAGUUACAAAUGAUUAAAAAGUAUUGUAGCUUUAGCAGAAAGGAUUGAUUUAAACAGCUACAUUUUCUCACCAUCCGUCAACCCUGUUGUCACAAUCUGUGGCAAGAUAUAAACAGAUGUCUAAUGCGACAAAUUUCAAUCUAAUCACCUGAAAACUCUUUGAAGCUAAAGGAUCAGUGUACUGGAGAUGCUUUCAGAUCCUUCCGUUGUUUUUGCCUAAAAAGGGCAUAGAUAACAAUUCCUUUAGAACAACAGAAAUUCAAAUUAUGCUGGCUAUUCUUUUAAUUGCCUGUAGAUAACGACAAGGUGAAAGAGAGAAGGAAGAGAAAGAAAUAUUUAGUUUUGUGCACAUCAUUAGUGUACUAAACACUGUACAUGCUGUGUGCUUGCCCCUUCUCGUCUUCUUUCUGAUGACUAAUGAGCACUGACUCCAGUCUUUCGUGUAAUUGAUAUAUGAAAAUAUCAACACACUAAUACAGUGUUGGACCAAAGUGAACAGUUUGUAAACCAAAUAAGAUAAGAACAGAGGAGCUCCUAAAAAGUUCUUGAACCAAAAAAAAAGGAGGGACUGGCCAACAAACUCUCACUGCCUUGGGCAUUUUGAAGCGACUAUCAGUUUUAUCUCUUGCCUUGAAUUAGAUUGUUAAAAGACAACACAGCAGCAGCAAAAAUGCAAGAUUCAGUUCUUCUUAGGUAUCUAAAGAUCAAUAUUGGAUCGCUAGAGUACUCGGGCACCAUACAGAGAUUGCAAGAGUUCCUUUCCAAAGAAAAAUGCCCAAAGAUGAAGCACGACCGCAGCUCAUAUAAGAAUCGGUCCAAAGCUGGUUUCAUUUUUAAGGUAAGGCAUUGAGAACCACUUUCUUUUGUCCACAGUGAGAUUCAAUUCUUAUCUUUAUCUGGUAGACAUAGUCUAAGAUUAAAAUUCUGCAACCUCCUCCCCCUUAAUGUUGGAUGAAGCUAUUGUCUCAAAAAAUAAAAUCCCAAAACCCAAAUCCCACCAGUUUUUACCGCCAGCAUUCCAUUUGCACCCUCAUUCGUCUCAAUUUCCCUCUCUCUUAUGUAUUCCAACUCACUGUUCUCUGACUUCUCUCAUGAACACAGGAACUAACAAAUAAUAUCUCCUCUCCAGCCCAAAUUUCCUAAGCCUAUCACAUCCACAGAGCACAAAGACUAAAAGUUCAUUCAAUCAAAUCUGGACCAUAAAAAUAUAGCAACAUGAACAACCAUACCAGGCACCAUUGUCAGCUGCUUCCACAUCAAAAUCGAGGUGGUGAUGUAACCGGACCCAGAAAGAACCCACAGAUGAGGGGGGGGGGGGAGAGGAGGCAAAGGCCUGAUGAGUGACAAGCAGGGAGCUCACAUGAAGGAAGGAGACAGGAAUAAGGUUUCAAGCCAAGAAGUGACUUGUAGGUUUGAAGAUGCUGCUUCUCUAACUUGUCUGCAUGCCAAGGAUUGUGUUUUUGUAUGAACCCUCUCUGAGUAUGCUCGAAAGAGAAGAUAAACAGAAUAUAAUGGAGAGAAAAGGGAGGGAGGGGGAGAGAGAGAAUGUAAAGUAAGGUGGUUGGUUGUUAUGGAGAUCGAUGAUGGAGGAGCUGGUAACAGGAUGACGCUUGGAGGAAUUAGUCGUGGUGGUAAUCCUGGUGGACAAGGCAAUGGGAGGUGCAGUUGAGUUUUGGGUUUUUCAGUGUUUGAGAAAAUUGAUUGUUGAAGUGGCCAAAUUUACAAUAGGAAAGAUGAUAGAUAAUUGAAAAACUUAAAAAAAGGUACUAAACAAUUUGCUAAAAACUAAAAGGUACUAAACAAUUUUGCAAACUAAUAAGGGUGGUUGUAGAUCUUCUUAGUUUUUUCAAAUCAAUCGUAAGCUUUGCAUUGGUCUCUAUAAGAACCUCUGCCCUUGCAACAAGGGGGGGAAAAAGGCAAAAGAUCAAUGAGAUAAACAGUUCAAAGUUCUGUAAAAUGUUCACUCUGAGCUUAUAUGCAAAUGUUAUCAUGUGAAGAAAUAUGAAGACUGGCGAGGAGGUAAGGACCUUCAAUCUGGAGUCAAGGAAAACAAUAUCAUGGACAGAUUCCAACAGCAAACCAAUAUACAGAUUCAGGCCAAACUGUUGUUAAGUUACACUUGAAUGUUACAGGUUACCUCAAUUUGGUCAGGAUACAAUGUUUACCCGUAAACAACUCGAGCUACCAAACAGCUUAAAAACAGCGAAAUUCUUGGGACCAAAAAACCAAAGUAAUGCCAUAACAUUACCAAAAAAAAAAGCAGAUAUCUAAAAGGAACCCAUAAACGCGAGUACAUGGAGUAGAAAAAAAUUGGAACUAUGCUUAGGAUAUUGGCAAGUAAAGCAUCUACGCAUUGCAAAAGCAUUCAGGUUCCCCAGAAUAAAACUAGAUGCUUGAGAAGUUUGUGCUUCACUAUUGGGAAACUAUCUUCCCAUGCUUCUCUUACUCUAUUAAGAAUCAAAUUCAAAUGCCGUGGCGGUGAUAAACUGAUUACCAUGCAGUUGUAUUAUUUUAACCAAUCAUCAGGCUCAGUUCUCGGACCUUUUGACAUAGCAACAGUUUUUACAUAGCAAAUAGUUUCUUUUGUUUGUUAUCGAGCCAAACUUAGAGCUAUUUUAAGGAAAGGAACAGCCAUUUAAAAAAAUGCGGAACAGCCACGAAUUUCAAAAUCUUGAAAAAAAGAAAAUGAAGCUUGAUGGAAAGCAGCAGUUGGAUAAACUUCAUAUUGAAUUUUCCUACCAGGUUACUCAUAGUAAAACCAAUUUAGAUGUCUUACACUGUACAAAUUCUAAGUUGGGAAAAAAAAGGCAGUAAAAAAUGCUUAUGAAGCCACACUCCUACCACUUCCAAACCAGAGCAGCUAAAUAAAUUUCAUAUAUUUAGCCAAGACAGACAAAUCUUAUUAUGCCAAAUUAACAAUUAACAUUAAUCCUUUUUUUUAGGCUUUCUAAAGUGUCAAAUAAACCAAAUAUAUAUGCAGCUAUCUCAUGGUCAAAACCCUCUCAACAACUUAUAACAUGAAAAAUUCCUCCUCUAAUACAGCGAGAAUGCUAAAACAAGCAUGGUAUUAUUAGAAGGCUCAUAUGACUCCAACAAGAGAAGAUAAAGAACCAACCCCAAAUCAAGGGAACUCUUGUUACAUAUAUCAUUUCUGAUGUACUAUAACAAGUUAAGAUUGCAGUGAUAACAAGAAAUCCAUGAGCUACUAAGAUUUGCUAUACCAAUCCUUUACAAAAUGUUGCCUCGGCUAACUAUGUUAAAGGAAGAGGCAUGGCAAAACAUACCAUCUACCGUUGAAUAUUAAGCAUAGCCUUUGCUUCACUCUGCUCCUCGACUAAAUCAUCA